RNAcentral lists this long non-coding RNA (76107 nucleotides) under Triticum aestivum (bread wheat). RNAcentral's name for it is "long non-coding RNA (TAES_LNC024411)". Lineage: Eukaryota; Viridiplantae; Streptophyta; Magnoliopsida; Poales; Poaceae. The record is from RNAcentral.
AAUUCCACAAAAUGAUCUAGGGUACACAUGCAACUAUGUCCUUGAGUAUGACAACAACCUUUAUCUUCUAGACAAAUGCAUGGUAUGCUACUAAUUUAUUUGCUACAAAUUCCAAUGAAUUGUGUCCUUUACUUUGUACAUACCCAGUUAUGAUAUUUGAUUUUGCUAAUACAAUGUAGCCUUCAAUUUAAACCAAGUUUUGCAUCCAUUAAUUAUGUUAGGUUCAUAUGACUUCACUACAUAAAAUAGGUAGAUAAUGCAUAAGACUAAGAUUGUAGCUAGGGAUGAAAAUCUAAAUACGACAUGAAUCUAACAAUUACGAGUAAUGUCUUUGUGACAAGAACUUUCUUUGUCUUUUAUUCCCAUGUUUGAACUAGUAUAGGUCGGGGUUACACAUUAUGGUGCACAUCACUUUAUUUAUCAUCGUUACAUUGAACGCUCAUUGACUAAACAACGAUGAUCCAUCCAUCUUGUAUUGUAGGUCUUCAUUUCAUUGGCCACCGAUGCUUGUAAGACUAGUCUCAUAUGGUUGUUGUUGUGGAUAUGGUUGUUGAGGUUGGUGUGGUUGCUGGGGUUGCUGGGAAAUUGUUUGUUCUGGUUGCUGGGAUAAUUGUUGUUGGGGCUGUAGAAAUGGUUGUUGUGGUUGUUGGGGUAAUGGUUGUUGUGGUUGCAGGAUGGAUGGUUGUUGGGGUUGCUGGGGUUGGGGCUGGGGAAAUGAUUGUUGUGAUUGUUGGGGUUGCUGGGGAAAUGGUUGUUGCGGUCCUAGGAGGAAUGAUUAUUGUGGUUGUUGGGGGAAUGGUUGUUGNNNNNNNNNNNNNNNNNNNNNNNNNNNNNNNNNNNNNNNNNNNNNNNNNNNNNNNNNNNNNNNNNNNNNNNNNNNNNNNNNNNNNNNNNNNNNNNNNNNNNNNNNNNNNNNNNNNNNNNNNNNNNNNNNNNNNNNNNNNNNNNNNNNNNNNNNNNNNNNNNNNNNNNNNNNNNNNNNNNNNNNNNNNNNNNNNNNNNNNNNNNNNNNNNNNNNNNNNNNNNNNNNNNNNNNNNNNNNNNNNNNNNNNNNNNNNNNNNNNNNNNNNNNNNNNNNNNNNNNNNNNNNNNNNNNNNNNNNNNNNNNNNNNNNNNNNNNNNNNNNNNNNNNNNNNNNNNNNNNNNNNNNNNNNNNNNNNNNNNNNNNNNNNNNNNNNNNNNNNNNNNNNNNNNNNNNNNNNNNNNNNNNNNNNNNNNNNNNNNNNNNNNNNNNNNNNNNNNNNNNNNNNNNNNNNNUGCAGGGGGAAUGGUUGUUGGGGAAUUAUUUGUUCUGGUUGCUGGGGGAAUGGUAGUUGGGGCCGGGGAAAUGGUUGUUGGGGUUGCUGGGGGAAUGGCUGUUGUGGUUGCAGAGGGAAUGAUUGUUGGGUCUGGGGAAAUGGUUGUUGUGAUUGCUGGGAAAAUUGUUGUUGGGGUGUGGGAAAUGGUUGUUGCGAUGGAUAUGGUUGCUGUGAUGGAUAUGGUUGUUGUGGAUAUGGCUGUUGUAGAAAUGGUUGUUGUUGAUAGGAAAAUGAUUGUUGAGGUGAUUGUAAUUCUUUGUUGCUAGGGUUUAGCUGCCUAGCGGCAGUGGCGAUGUUCAUCGCCAUGGCAAGGAGGACAAAGAUGAGGAAGGUCUUCAUGUUGGAUUUGUGGUUACUACUGCUUGCUUGCUUUUGAUGCUUGUGGUCUAGGUGUGUGAAGUUUGGAUGAUGAAAUGUGGUCUUGGUGGUGCAUGUGUAUUUAUAGUUUUCAUGGCAUGGCUUGCUUUCUUCUUCCCACUCGCUUUUUGAAAAAGUGCACCAAUGCUUAUCCAACUAAUCAUUUGAUUUGUUGUGUUUGGUGCAACUACUUACUAGCAAGAUUUUGGAUUUUCAUGAUAGUUGCUUUUUGUUGAAAUCAUCUGGUUGUAAGGAAUGUUGGAUAAUGACCAAUGACUCAUCUUCUUCACUUUACACUGCAAACAUUGAUCUAAAUUAUAUCCUUUUUUGAAAUUUAGUUUGUGAAGCUCUACAUGUUGUUAGGCUUAUCUAUAUUGGCAUAGCUUGAGUGGAAUUAAGUUUGUAAGCUUGUGAGCGUCAUUAUGAUGGAUCACACUAUUAAUGUGAUGAUUGUACUACAAAUUAUCUUUCCAAAACUAAUUUUAUGUUUUUUCCCAAUAUGAUUCUAAGACGGAUAACCAGACAUGACUCAUCAAAUAACAAGAUAAACCGAGUAGCAAAUUGGGGUUAUAAGUUAUAACAUGGACUUUUCUCUAAGAUACACUAUCUUGUCUUGCAUGCUCUGUGAAUUUGAAAAGCAUCUACUAAUUUAUAUGCAAUUGAAACAAAAGUAGACCAGAAAGAUAAGCAAUGAAAUGAGAAUACUAUUAUGUGAAGCUCUACAUGUUUGGCAAGCAAUAAGAUACUGGAUACAUCUAUAUCUUCAAUCCUGACAAUUUUUCUCAUCCCUAUCAACUCUUUAUUGGCUGCCUUUACUGUAGUCAUCCCUUAAAUAAAAAUCACUUAAAGAUAAGUUUGGGAGCUAGUACCAGCAUCUAUCAUGUACAAGAUAAAAAACUAAGGCACAUAUAGUAGUCUAUUGACUAUAUUUAAUUUCAUGUGAUGUGAAAGCAUGUGGAGUAUAAGUUGGUUAAAUAUAAAAUUGUCCUUCAUACCAGUAGGGAAAGAAUAUGCAGUAUAAAGAUUAGAGCAUUAUUAAUAUGCUAUUAAAUGCUACAGGAUAAUCGAUAGUUCAAGUUAAGAACAACAAUAGCAUUCCAACUUUUGUUUUGUGCAAGUUAAGAACAUGCUAACAAAGUAACCUAAGCAAAUAAGUGCAACACCUUCACCUAUAAGGAAAUUUUGAAACUACACAAAAUGACCUAUUGUAAAGAAGGAAAAAAAUCUAAAGGUGAAUGAAAAGCAUGUUAAGUACAUUCAGGAUUCGGUUAUGCCUUCAUGGAUAACCUUUUAGAUGGUGACUUGUCAACCUUGAUGUGUGUCGGCAUGGAACGAGGACAAGAAGACAUCGUUACGUCGUACUUUGGGAAUUUCAUCAAACUGGUUGUGUGCGGGAACAAAUAUUUGUCGCCUCCCUGCUCAAAUCUCUCUUCAUGUCACUAAAUCCGACACUCCACCUACCAAAAUCAGCUGCAAGCCAGGGACAAUCAACAGGUUUCUCCGCCCGUAGCAUCUAUCACCAAAAGAAGUUCAGACUAUAGUCUUGUAGUUUAAAAUUUUGUAAUAACAAGCACUACUAGGUUGCUCUUGUUUGUACGUCUUCAUUAUGUACAACCCAUGGAACUUAAAAUGCAUGGGUCAUUCUUCGGUAUAUACAACCAAUGCAACCAAACAUGCAUUGGGCUUUUCUUUGUACAUCUUCAGGUUCUACAACCAAUGCAACAAAAAAUCCAUUGGGCAGUCUUCCAUUCUAGUCGGGCACCAAUAGUUAAACGAGGAGCUAAACAGUGUUGGAGUCUAAAACUACAUACAAUCAUGAAGCAGAGAGAUGCGACUUGGAAGUUGUGCUCCUGUGAGCUCGUAUUUUUGAAGAAAAAAGUAAUAUUUGUAUUUUGAAGUGGGAAAAAGUCCUAAAAAGGGAUGUUUUGCGGGUUAUAACUUACUAUUUUUGAGUCCUGGGCUGCAGGAAGGUCGUAAAAAAUCAAUGUGUUUUCCCAUUCAUGCAUGUUUCUUGGGUUAUAGGUCACGCUUUUGGUGUCCUAGGGAGAUCACUUCCCCAGUUGGGAACAUUAGGUGAUGAUUUUUAGCAAAACUCAUUGUUUUAGCCUAACUAGUUUCGAGGAUUGGUGGACAAGAUUAUCAUGGAACAAAGUGACAACCUUCCUUUUCUUCAUGCCUAAUAUAAACUUAGCAGUCAACUAAAAGUAACUAGCGAUAUCACAGAAUGUUUUUUUGUCAAAAGUAGAUACCACUUCAGGAUUCAACUCGGUUAGUUCAAUCAUAGACAUGUUAAGAGCAGGAUUUACAACUAACUGCAUAGGGAACAUCUCCUUUUAUCGCCCACUAUCUGUCUAUGCACUUUGGUUUUCCCGUAGCAGCACACAAAGCACUUUGUUAGUACCAAUAAUGUGCUCCAACUCUACACAUUAAUCAUCUUGAAUUCUUCUACUGAUGUCGAACAAUGUUAUAUCUUGAAUUCUUCUAACGAGUUCAGAUUAUACUACAUGGGCAAUUUAUCUGGUCCCUGAGAUGCAAGGUCGAUGAACAAUCGCUUCGUCUGAUGAUGAGGGAUUGUUUUUGCCUAAGAAACCAAUACAUGUAACUUCGACGCCAGAUUAAUAAUUGGUAAAACCCAAAUAAAUUAGAUCACGAGCUAAACCAUUUAAUUUUGUAUGCAUUUAAACUUUUGAUACAUAUGAGCUUGUUAAGAUGUUCGCAUAAACACCAUGGUGAUUUGAAGCAAGACAAAGUAAACUUGAACCGCUUGAGCCACUGACUUAAUAAGAACCUCCUUUCCCGUGGCAGAGAUCGUUUUUAAUACAUCCACUCACUUUGGUUCUCUUAUGAAAUCUAGAUUCCUUCGCUAAGGCUAUUGCUCCAGUAUUGUCACAAAAGAUUUUUGUUGGACCCGAUGCACUAGGUAUGACACCUAGAUCGGAUAUGAACUCCUUCAUCCCGACUCCUUCAUUUGCUACUUCCGAAGCAGCUAUGUACUCCUCUUCACAUGUAGAUCCCUCCACGACGCUUUGCUUGAAACUGCACCAACUGACAGCUCCACCAUUCAAUAUAAAUACGUAUCCGGUUUGUGACUUAGAGUCAUCCAGAUCAGUGUCAAAGCUUGCAUCAACGUAACCAUUUACAACGAGCUCUUUGUCACCUCCAUAAAUGAGAAACAUAUCCUUAGUCCUUUUCAGGUAUUUCAAGAUGUUCUUGACCGCUAUCCUAUGAUCCACUCCUGGAUUACUUUGGUACCUCCCUGCUAAACUGAUAGCAAGGCACACAUCUGGUCUGGUACAUAGCAUUGCAUACAUGAUAGAACCUAUUGCUGAAGCAUAGGGAAUGACUUUCAUUUUCUCUCUAUCUUCUGCAUUGGUCGGGCAUUGAGUCUAACUCAACUUCACACCUUGUAACACAGGCAAGAACCCUUUCUUUCCUUGAUCCAUUUUGAACUUCUUCAAAACUUUAUCAAGGUAUGUGCUUUGUGAAUGUCUAAUUAACCGUCUUGACCUAUCUUUAUAGAUCUUGAUGCCCAAUAUAUAAGCAGCUUCACCGAGGUCUUUCAUUGAAAAAUUCUUAUUCAAGUAUCCUUUUAUGCUAUCCAGAAAUUUCGUAUCAUUUUCGAUCAACAAUAUGUCAUCCACAUAUAAUAUCAGAAAUGCUACAAAGCUCCCACUCACUUUAUAAAGGCUUCUCCAAAAGUCUGUAUAAAACCAUAUGAUUUGAUCACACUAUCAAAAUGUAUAUUCCAACUCUGAGAGGCUUGCACCAAUCCAUAAAUGGAUCACUGGGCUUGCACACUUUGUUAACACCUUUUGGAUCGACAAAACCUUUUGGUUGCAUCAUAUACAACUCUUCUUUAAGAUAUCCAUUAAGAAAUGCAGUUUUGACAUCCAUUUGCCAAAUUUCAUAAUCAUAAAAUGCGGCAAUUGCUAACAUGAUUUGGACAGACUUAAGCAUCGCUACGGGUGAGAAGGUCUCAUCAUAAUCAACUCCUUGAACUUGUCGAAAACCUUUCGCAAAAAGUCGAGAUUUGUAGACAGUAACAUUACCAUCAUCGUCAGUCUUCUUCUUGAAGAUCCAUUUAUUCUCUAUGGCUUGCCGAUCAUCGGGAAAGUCAACCAAAGUCCACACUUUGUUCUCAUACAUGGAUCCCAUCUCAGAUUUCAUGGCCUCAAGCCAUUUCGAGGAAUCUGGGCUCAUCAUUGCUUCCUCAUAGUUUGUAGGUUCAUCAUGGUUGAGUAACAUGACCUCCAGAACAGGAUUACCAUACCACUCUUGUUGGGAAUAUGACUACCAGGUAUGACCCGCCCAGGAGGGGCCGGGUCAAUCCUAAUGGCGGGUUACUAAAAGAAGCUCAGUGAAUAUACAAGGCGAUAGUUUAUUAUAAGACUUGUAGUAGGACCAAGCCCAAAGGCGGGUUAAGGCCCAUAAUUGUAAACCGCCAUGUAUAAGAAAGAAUUGUAAAGAAAGGCAUGUAAGAGAAGUCACCGAGCCGGGCACGUUAUAUGAGCCGGCUGGGACUCUGUAGGCCGCCAGGCGUCAACCCGUGUAUAUAAGGGGACGACCCGGUGGCGGCUUAGGGCAAGUAACAUCAAAUCGAGAGCCAUGCAUAGCGUAUUUGCUCCCUGGUCAUCGAAACCUAGCAAUACCACAUCAACUGGACUAGGCUUUACCUUCACCGUAGGGGGCCGAACCAGUAUAAACCUUUCGUGUCCUUUGUCCCGAUUAACCCCUUUAAGCUUCCUAGUUGCGAUGGCUCCACGACUAAGUCCUUUCAGUAGGACAUCUGCCGUGACAAUUCCACGACAGUUGGCGCCCACCGUGGGGCCAUCGCACGAUGGAUUUGAGUUCUUGAAGGGCAGCUUCCAAGGGCUCAAGGGAUACGCUGUGGGCCGGAUAACCAAAAGUUGUCACAGCAAGCUCUACAUCGACGACGCAGGCUGGGGCCCCGAGGCUGGCUCAAUCGAGUACGGGUACCGGGUCCCCUUCGGCGGAAUCCACGUCUUCAUCGGCCGGAUCGGCGAGCCGGGCCCUGAGUCGGACAUCUGCACCGACCUCAUCGAGAUGGCUCAGCGAGUGAGACCUGCCCGGGCUCAACCUGCCGUGAGGCGUGCCUUCGUGGGUUGCAUCCAUGGAGGGGAAUUUUCUGAAGGAUCGAUGGACGGUGGUGAGACAGUCGUUUGCUCUAGCAGUGAGUCGUCCAUAGGCGAGACAGAUUCUUUGUAUCAGCUACAAGAUGGCGGGCUUGGGGGCUGUUCCGAUGGCAGUAGUAUUCCGGACCCCUCUGAGCCGCCGAAUCGAGCCGGAGUCUUCAUGGCUGGCACUCAACCUGGUUAGAAUUCUAUGGCUGCGGCAGCAAUAACCACUGGGUCAGCAGGGGCCGGGUCAGGAGACCCCGCGCGCCCACCGGCUCAGGUACUAAUGGACCUCAUGGAUAGGAUGACGGCCCUGUUGACUGCUGUGGUUGAGCCGGCAGAUAAGGCUCAGCAUGACGCAGAGGUAGCACAGCUACACAGAGAGGUAGCACAGGCCAAGGAAAAUUUAGUGGCGGAAGAUGUCAGGAUGGCCGCGGAACGGGCGGCUCUGGAUGCACGGGCUCGGCAGCUUCAAGCGAAGACUUUCUGGCUCUCGGUGGAUCUGAACGCAUCAAACGAGGUCACGAGGAGAAGGCACCAGAAGGCUCAAUCAUGUCUGCCUCUGACUUACGAUCCUAGGAACCUUUUUCACACACCCGGGACUGGUCCCAGUAACCCGCUGAAGGCAAACCGGAUCACAACACCCGGGACCGGGACGCCGGUUCAACCGCGGGCCAUGGAACCACCGCGUGUGAAUACUGCUCUGCCUCACUACACAGCGAUACCACCGGGUCACUUCUCUAACCCCUUGGAGAACCUUAUUGCUGCGUCGGCUCAUCUGGCGGCUCUCCCGAUGGAAGGUGACUCUUCGACGGCGAUCGAGACACGACGGGUCAGAGAACUUCUUCAGACGGCUCUGGCACAGCAGGAUGCAUAUUCUUAUAGUUGAGAUAGAAUCCAUUCAACCCCUCGCCCAAGCCGGAGCCCAAGCUAUAGCAGGCAUAUGGACUCGGCGGCCAUGUCAAGCAACACCCAGCGCCGUAACCAUCCACGUGGGCGUGACCCGGCCCCGGGCGGAGCUUGUAACUUGGUAGACCAGGAGAGGAUCCGUCAAGAGGCUGAACGGGUGGUUCAACAGGCGGCUGAGCAAGCGGCUCACCAAGCUUUUCCAAUUUAUACAGUGACCUCUGUUGAAGCAGGGGUGGCCACAAGGACAGGAGGAGUCCCUUGUCUUGUGCAGUCUCUGCGUAAUGAGCGUUUACCAAAGGACUUUAAGGGGCCUCGUAAGGUGCCCAAUUACACAGCCGACCUGCAGCCCGGAGCAUGGAUUGAAAGUUACGAGAUGGCCAUGGAGUUAUUAUAAGUCAGUGACGCAGCAAUGGCCAAAUACUUCACCAUGAUGUUGGAUGGAACAGCUCGUACUUGGUUAAAGGGGUUACCGCCCAACUCCAUCGGCUCAUGGGCGGAGUUGAAGGCACGGUUCAUUCAGAACUUUAAAGAUACCUGUAAACAGCCCAUGUCAAUCGUGGACUUGACUAACUGCAAGCAAGAGGAAGGCAAAUCCAUGACCCAUUGGGUGCGCCGGGUCAAGGAAAUAAUACAUUCAUCUGAUAAGAUGGAUGCCAGCUCCACGGUCUUAAUGUUGGAGAAAAAUUACCGUUUUGAACCUCUGAAACAGAAGCUGGGGCGGCUCAAGCAUGAUUGUAAUGACAUGGGCCAGUUGAUGGCGGCUCUGGUCAAAUAUGCUGACUCUGACAGUACCAAGGAUCCCAUGUCUGACGAAGAGAAGACGAGGAAGGGAAAGAAGAACGGCAACGGCAAGGGUCACCAGCAUAACCCGACAAAUCAAGGAGGUAAUAAACGCAAGGCUGACGAGUUUGUGGCUAACACCAAUGCACAUGGCAACAACCAAUGGCGCAAGGGGAGGCCACCUCCUCGGUCAGGCGGAUCAGGUCCCACCCUCGAGCAACUACUAAAUGAACCCUGUCCGGGACAUGGCACCCGGGAGAAGCCGGCUACCCAUCUGUGGAAGGAUUGUACGAUCAUGAAGGCUUUUAAGAAUUCUAACAUGUUUGAUGGUAACCACGGGCCUGCUGGCGGCUCAGGCGGUGGCGGUUUUCAUGGCCAAGGCCAUCCGGGUAGUCAAGGCGAUUAUAGUCAGCAAUCCGGCCAGGGCAGUCAGCAACAGCAGCAACAGCCCGUGUAUCAGAGUAACCCAAAACAGCUGAACAGUGGACAGUACCAUGUGUUUACCACCAGUUUGUGCAAGAGGGACCAGAAGCUUCAGAAGAGGGAUGUAAAUGCUAUUGAGCCGGCGGUUCCACGUUAUUUGAGAUGGUCUGAACAACCUAUUCUGUGGAGUAGGGAAGAUCACCCACCCCGGGUUGAUAAUCCGGGUCAUCUGGCUUUGGUGGUGGCGCCUCAGGUUGGUGGAUAUAAGUUCACUAAAGUGCUCAUGGACGGAGGCAGUAGCAUCAACGUCCUCUAUUAUGAGACGUUCUGUCGCAUGGGGUUGACUGAUAAGAGUCUUAAAACAUCCAACACUGUUUUUAUGGGGUAGUGCCUGGUAAGUCGGCGUACCCAGUUGGUAAAAUUGAGCUGGAAGUGGCCUUUGGAGAUGAGUAUGAUUCUAGGGCUGAGAAGCUAACUUUUGAAGUGGUUAAAAUCAAGAGCCCAUAUCACGCUCUGUUUGGACGGCCGGCUUAUGCUAAGUUCAUGGCCCGGCCGUGUUAUGUGUAUUUGCAGCUCAAAAUGUUGGGUUAUAAAGGCACUAUCAUAGUACAUGGAAGCCGGAAAAUAGCCCUGGAAUGUGAAGAAGGUGAUGCUGCAUAUGCCGAGUCUGUUUGUGCAACAGAGGAAUUGAAGUUUUAUAAGGAUAAUGUUGACCCGGCAAACAUGGCGUCUUUGAAGAAGCCAACUACGGAGCAUGAGCCGGCAUUGAAAUUCAAGUCCGCUGAUGACACCAAGAUGAUUGAUUUCGUGUCUGGCGACUCAUCCAGACACUUCAUUAUCAGUGCUAACUUGGAUCCAAAAUAGGAAAGCGUGCUCAUCGAGUUCAUCCAUGAGAACCGGGACAUCAUUGCAUGGAAGCCUUCUGACAUGCCGGGUGUUCCGAGAGAACUCGUUGAGCACACUCUCAAUAUUCAUCCAAAGUUUAAGAUGGUCGGGCAAUUUCUUCGGCGGUUUAACGAGGAAAGGUGCAAGGCCAUUGGAGAAGAGGUGGCCCGGCUCUUGGCGGCCGGGUUCAUUGUUGAAGUUUUUCACCCAGAGUGGUUGGCUAACUCGGUGCUUGUGCUUAAAAAGAACGGCACCUGGCGCAUGUGUGUGGAUUACACAAAUUUAAACAAGGCUCGUCCAGCUGAUCCUUUUGCUCUCCCUCGUAUUGAUCAAAUCAUUGAUGCUACGGAGGGUUGUGAGCGUUUGAGUUUUCUGGAUGCUUAUUCGGGUUAUCAUCAGAUCAAGAUGGCAGUUAAGGACCAGGAGAAAACAGCUUUCAUCACUCCGUUUGGAGCCUUCUGCUAUGUGUCUAUGCCUUUUGGGCUCAAGAGUGCCCACGCGACUUAUCAGCGGUGUGUACAAAAUUGCCUUCAUAAUCAGAUUGGGUGUAAUGUUCAUGCUUAUGUGGAUGAUAUAGUGGUGAAAUCCAGAGAGAAGGAAACCUUAGUAGCUGAUCUAAAGGAAACCUUUGGUAACCUCCGGGUCUACAAGAUGAUGCUUAACCCGGCCAAGUGUGUUUUUGGAGUCCCAGCUGGCAAGCUCUUGGGUUUUUUGGUGUCUAAUGGAGGCAUUGAGGCUAACUCGGAGAAAAUAAAGGCAACCACGUCUUUGGCUAAACCGGCAUGCAUCAAUGACGUUCAGCGGCUGGCGGGCCGUGUCGCAGCUUUAAGCCGGUUUAUAAGUCGGUUGGGCGAGAAGGCUAUGCCAUUGUAUCAAAUGAUGAAAAAGGUGGAUGACUUUGUAUGGAGUGACGCUGCUGAUUCCGCUUUUGAAGGUUUGAAAAGACAGCUUGCUGGGCCACCUAUUCUUGCUGCCCCCGUUGAGAAGGAGCCGCUAUUGUUAUAUGUGGCUGCUAACUCACAAGCCGUCGGCAUGGCCAUUAUUGUGGAGCGCAAGGAGGUUGGCAAGGAACAUCCAGUUCAAUGGCCGGUUUACUACGUCAGUGAGGUGCUCAUUGGAUCCAAGAAAAGAUACCCACAUUAGCAAAAACUUGUUUAUGGGGUGUUCAUGGCAAGCCGGAAGCUUAAGCAUUACUUCCAGGGUCAUCCUAUCACUGUGGUUAGCUCUGCUCCUUUAGGAGAUAUUAUUUAGAACAGAGAAGCCACAGGACGAGUCGCCAAGUGGGCCAUUGAGCUUGGGGUCUCAUAAUAUAAAGUAUGUGCCACGUACGGCUAUUAAGUCUCAAGCACUGGUGGACUUCAUUAAUGAUUGGACGGAGUUACAGACACCUGAAGAGAAGCCAGACAACACAUAUUGGACGAUUCAUUUCGAUGGGUCCAGGCAGUUGGAAGGCUCGGGGGCUGGAGUUGUGUUAACUUCUCCUCGAGGUGACAAGUUUUGUUAUGUGUUGCGAUUGAUGUUUCCUUGUACUAACAAUGCAGCAGAAUAUGGGGCCUUGCUCCAUGGUCUUCGAAUGGCUAAAGAGAUGAGUUUAAGACGGGUACGGUGCCUUGGCGACUCAGAUUUGGUGGCUCGGCAGGUGUCAGGCAAGUGGGAUUCCAAGGACCCUCUCAUGGCGGCUUAUCGCCGGGAAGUUGAUGAUGUUGUUGGACAUUUCAAAGGUUAUCAGGUGGAGCACAUUGACCGCAGAAAAAACAAAGCGGCUGAUGCUUUAAGCCGGUUGGGAUCACAGCGUAAGCUGGUGCCACCUAACACUUUUCUAGAUGUUCUUCAAAACCCUUCUGUCAAACUGCCUACAGAGGAAGAUUUGGUCAUUCCAGACCCGGAGGCACAGUUAGUAGCGGCUCUUCAUGUUAUUCCAGAUUGGACAUUACCGUAUUUGGCUUACAUGACCCGGGGUGAGUUGCCAGAGGAUGAGACCUUGGCUCGACAGAUAACCCGACGGUCUAAGUCAAUGACAAUUUCCAAUGGUGAGUUGUAUCAUCGCAGCGUCACUGGAGUGUUUCAACGUUGUGUCUCUCCCGAAGAAGGUCAAGAAAUUCUUCGUGAGAUCCAUGAAGGGGAUUGUGGUCAUCACGCUGGUUCAAAGUCUCUUGUGGCUAAAGCUUUUCGUCAUUGUUUUUACUGGCUAACGGCUCACGCUGAUGCAGAGGAUCUGGUCAGUAGGUGUGAUGGGUGUCAAAAAUUUGCACGACGAGCGCACGUGCCGGCUUAAGAAUUGCGGAUGAUUCCAAUCACUUGGCCGUUUGCAGUCUGGGGGCUUGACAUGGUUGGACCUUUUAAAAGAUCCAAGGAUAAAAAGACACAUCUUUUGGUGGUAGUUCACAAAUUUACAAAAUGGGUUGAGGCAGAGCCGGUUAGUAAGUGUGAUGCAGCCACGAUGGUUCAGUUCAUGAAAAAGGUGAUCUUUCGUUUUGGCUUUCCACAUAGCAUUAUAACUGACAAUGGUACUAAUCUGUCCAAAGGCAACAUGGAGGAGUUUUGUCAAUGUGAGCAUAUCCGGCUUGAUGUUUUGUCUGUAGCUCACCCCCAAUCCAAUGGUCAAGCUGAGAGAGCAAAUCAGGAAAUCCUAAAAGGUCUCAAGCCCGACUUAUGGUUCGUUUACAACGGACGCCGGGUUGUUGGGUGGAGGAAUUACCCUCGGUGCUGUGGAGUAUCAAUACCACUCCUAACAGAUCUACAGGUUAUACACCUUUCUUCAUGGUUUAUGGAGCAGAAGCAGUUCUGCCUAGUGACAUCCGUCAUGACUCACCUCGCGUGGCGGCCUAUGUUGAAGCUGAUAAUGAACAAGCCCGACAGGAUGCACUUGACUUGUUAGAUGAGGAGAGAGAUUUGGCAGUGGCUCAAUCAGCAAUUUAUCAACAAGACUUGCGCCGUUAUCACAGCCGCCGGGUUAAGUCCAGAACCUUUCAAGAAGGUGACCUAGUGCUCCGGCUCAUCCAGGAUCUGUCUGAUGCACACAAGCUAUCCCCGCCUUGGGAAGGACCCUUUGUGGUCAACAAGAACUUAAACAAUGGGUCAUAUUACCUCAUUGAUGUUCGAGAGCACAAAGACCCACGUAAGUCGGAGGAGGAGACCCGCCGGCCGUGGAACAUCGCUCAGCUUCGGCCAUACUACACUUAAACCAUCGGCUCUCAUCAUGUACAUACUUUGACGUUGUAUAUAAUAUGAUAAGUAAUAAAGCAGGACCUCUGUCCUUUUUCCCCUUCAAUGAUCAUAUAUCUUUAUUAUUUUCAUUAUUUAAAAUGACCAUUAGGGGGCUGAUCGUAUCCGAAUCUAGCUUAACCCUUUUGGUCCGGCUCAUGAUCGUAUUCGAAUCUAGCCGUAAAACUCAUGGUCACUUGGGGGCUUCCUGUUCAAACAUAGGUCGUAUUCGAACCAAAGAGAACAUAGCUGUCGUAACCCUCUUGAUCGGCUCAAAGCCAAACUCACUAGGGGGCUUCUUGAUCGUAUCUGAAUCAUAGCUUAACCCCUUUUUGGGUCCAACUUGGAUCGUAUUCGAAUCAGGGUCGUUAAAAACCUCUCAAGGUCAUUUGGGGGCUUCCUAUUCAAACAUAGGUCGUAUUCGAACCAAAGAGAACAUAGCUGUCGGUACCCUCUUGAUCGGCGCAACGCCAAAGCCACUGGGGGCUAUAUGAUCGUAUCCGAAUCUUAGCUUAACCCCUUUGGUCCGGUUUACUGAUCGUAUUCGAAUUAGAAGCCUCCAGUUUUUAUUUAAAUGUUUGAUUUACAUUGUCUGAAGCCUAGUGUUUUAUCUUACUAUUUUUAUCGUCUCAAAUCUAACUGUUAGUAUGGUUUCAAAUUAAACCGGCUUGGCUAUUUGACAAUGUGUCGCCAAGGCAUAACAGUCAUCAGACAUAUGGAAGUAUUGACUUCUAAAAAAGAUUGGGUUAUCAACCUCAUCAUCCGGGUCAUGUAAACCGACAGUCCAUGUUCAAAAACCACAGGUAUGACAGUGUCAUUCAUGAACAGACUUCCCUGGGUUUUUCGUCAGUCAAAGGAUUUUUCAGCCUUGUUUAUCUUACAUCUGGUUCUAUUUUUUCCACUAUGAUAAUUUCAUAAUCAUGUACCGGGUGUUUUGACCCGUCCGGUGCUAAGCCACCGGGACAGUUUUUUUCAUCUUUUACAGGAACAGAGUUAAAACAUUACAGAUGUAACCACGAUGUAAUGCAUAUAUAUAUUGACAUCAUGGGCAAAGAGUCAUAUGAAACAUCUUAUGCACGAUGGCAUAGGCAAAAUAUGCAAUUUUCAAACUAACCUAUUACAAGGCAUUGAGAGCCCAAAAGGUUAAACGGUUUUCUCUCUUAAGCAGGUCUUAAGCUAAAAACUGGAUUGUUCAGAUGGUUAUGACUCCUCCCUGGCCGUUUCACCUCCCUCCACUGGUUGGAAGCUGGGAUUGGACCAGUCAAAGCCGUUCAGAGCAAUGAACUCAGCCUCAUCGUCAAUUAGGCCGGCCGGGUCAAUUUGCAGGGCAAAAGUGUGUUGACGAACCGGCGGGAUAAGAUCCAUCACUUUAUAAGAGGGAGUCGCCAUCUUUUUAUUCUCCAUAUCAAAACCCGACUGAUAUUUUUCGAUGUUGGUCUCCUCACCAAGAAUGGUAGCCUGAGGACGAACUCCCCUCACACAAGCAAUAAAGUCAUCUUGCUCAAACGGAGUCCCGUCUUCCUUCAUGGUAGGGUACCCCUUAGCCACGUCCACCGGGUGUAAAUCGGGCACCCAGGCUUUGGAGCGGCUCAGGGCAGUCAGGGCUCCGACUCUGGCACAAGAUCGUUUGACCUCUUGAAAUCUGGCGGGUAAGAUCGAUAACUUCUUCAAAACAUCACUUAAACGGUUGGGUCCUUGGUUGGCAGGGGAUAUAUAUAGUAGAAAGUGCUCGUUGAGCACCAGUGUACAGUUGCUCCACCAAGGUAUAAACCGCCUUCAGUUUUGUCACACUAUCUUGACUCAGAUAUUUUACUUCGUGGACCUGUGAGUACUUUUUAACAAAGGCUCAGCAGGCGGCUUAUAUUUCUGGUUAAAAUAAAGUAUAAGUGACUAAUGCAAAUGACUUACCAAAGAUGGCGGAGACCAUUUGAUACACACGGUUUUUUAAGCCGGUGAGCUCCAUGGUAACCUCCUCAAGAGUCGCCUCUGCUGUCUUGGCACGUUGUGUCAGCAAGGUCUUCUCAUCGGCCCAGGAUUUCUUCUUCUCAGUCACACUGGUCUUCAAUUUUUCAGUUUUAGAGAGACUCAAUUGGAGUUUGGAGUUAGCAGUCUUUAUCUCCGCUUCUUGAUCCGCCAGCCGGGUCUUUGCAUCCGUCAAUUGAGAUCCCAAUUCAGUUAGGGCGGUCUACAAACAUGCAUAGGUGUGUCAAAAUUUAAACACAAGUUAUAUUGAUUAAAGUCGCGAGUGCUUUGCAACGCAACACCACUUGGCACUUGGGGGCUAAUGUCUGCCAAAGCAAUUUUAUGCAAAAUGACUCUUCUAUGUUUCAAGUCCCAAGUGUUUUACAAAGUAACAACGCUUGGCACUUGGGGGCUAAUGCAUGAUAUUCAGAAAGUUUUUCAAGAUGAGCCGGAUCACACUACUUAUUUGGACUAAUCUAAGACAGUUAUGAAGUUAAGUACCGGGUCAUUUAUGAUAAAUUGAGCCGGCCCUUGGGGACUACAUGUGAAGUUUAUACUAAUCCGUUGAACUUAGGAAAAAUCUAAAGACAAGGUAUCAACCUAUAUCAUAAGUCUACAGAUCAUUCAGGUUCAUCAUAAUCUGAAGACUUGGGGGCUGGCAGAGUAUAUAUAAACCGGAGAACGUACCUCAUAUUCUGUAACAUCCCAAAUUUUCAAUUUGGAAUGUUACACGUUAGGUCAUCAUGCAUAUCAUAUUUUAUUUUUCUUUUGGUUUUGAUCCUAGAAAAUCCUAAGCAACUCAAGGACCCACGGAGAGAGUUGGGGAUUUCAUUAUUUACAUAUUUGAGUUUUCUCAAAUUAUGUAAACAGGAUCAUUUGAUUUUAUUUAUUCUAUCAUCAAUUAUUUCUAUUACAAAAAUAUGAGAGAGGGAAUAAAAUGACUUUUCCAAAAUAUAGAAAUAUUGAGGAUUUAAUAAAAAAUCAAAUAAGUUUUAUUUCGGAGUUUUUUGGUAUUUUUAUUUGAAUUUAGGAAAAAUGCGCGUUUUUCAAAUUGUAGUUUGGGCCCAGAUAAAUGUUCACUUUAUCGGGCUUGAUUUUAGGAACCCGGCAAAAUUUAUUUCGUGAUUUUUGGAGUCCGUUUAGUAUUUCUUUUUAUUUUUCUUCCGAGCGGAUUUAAAAAAAAACUAGAACCGACUCCGUGCCGUAACCGGCCAGGAAACCUCCGCCCGGGGCCUUUAUAUAGCGCCCGAACCGGCCGAGAGAGAGAGAGAGGCCCGAAGCCAGCUAACCCUAACCCUAGCUAAGCCGCCGCCGCCUCCCAGCCGUCGCCGCCCGCCGCUGCCGACUCGCCGGAGCGCGCGCCUUUCGAGGUUCGCCGCCGCCUCGUUUUCCGUGAAGUUUUUUUUUAAAAAAAAAAUCUGUUCGUCGUUUUUCUUUUUCGUCGGAUUUUCCGCGGUUAUUUUCUGAUCGCGAUUUCUGAUCCGGUUUUCGUUUUAGUAUAACUUUUCGCUCGUUUAUCGGAAUCAGGCGAUUCAAGCGCCUGGAGUUUCGUCUCGAAACCCUCUUUCCGAAUAAUCAACUUAAACAAGUUUUUGCUACUGUAAAAUUUGCCCUAGAUCCAGAUUACUAGAAGGAAGUUGUUUUUUUUGCCGUUUGAUUUCUUUCGCUUCGUUCGAUUUGAUUCUUUUGCCAACCAGGGUUCUUAAGUUGAACUUUCUGGUUAGAUCUUCUAUUUGAGUUUUACUUGUGCAUUAGAUGAGUACUUAUUGUAUGCUUGAUGUUUGUCUGUGAUAGAAUACCCGGAGUGCGCCGCCUGUUACUUCGAAUCUCUAGGUUUCGCGGAUCAUCAGCAAGGCAAGUAACACUUUGAUCAUACCUUUUCUACAACCCAGUUUUAUUGCAUUAGAUCAAUCCUCACACAUUGCAUGAUUAGGAUCUAAUUAAAUUGUGGGAUGGGAAGUAGAUGAGGUAGUACCUAUUACCUGUUUAUUAUCAAACCUUUGGGAGUUACUUCUACGUUUGCUUAUGCCAUGUUAUGCCGGUAGACGUGGAUUGGGUGAGUGAUAUCCAUGACAGAUGUGAGAUUUAUAAUUAAGGGUUAUCUAAGGUGGCAACCUAACACACAUCUGGGUGGAUUGAGGCACCUGGGGUUACCAGGACUUGCCUGUUUUCUUUUGGACCGCCACCCAGGCCCAAAGGGAUCAUGAGAUUUUUCAUACUAGAAACUUCCGUGUGCAGCCACAAGCCAUUAUGGGCUCUGGCAUAGUUGACUAAGUUGUGCGAACUCUUACAGUGGUAGACUAGCAGAUGUAGGGGAAAGUAGGUGUACCGGUCUACCCGUCGUAAGGUGCUAGCGCUUCUGAAAGACUGUGUCUCGGUCAUCCGUUUCUCAAACACCUUGUAGUGCGAGAAACCAAACGGAGGUGAUCGAGUCUUGUGGGGAAAAGUGCGCAAACCUCUGCAGAGUGUAACAAACUAAUCAUGGUUAGCCGUGUCCCUGAUUAUGGACAUCUUGAGUAUCUAUUACCUGGAUUAUCAUGUGAAUCUCAACAUGUUACUCUAAAAUUAAUUUUGUGGGAUUUUAAUGAUGUUACUUAAUUGGGAUUGAGGAUGCUGUCAACCAUUCUCAAUGUUUAACAACCACCAUGAUAGUAAUUAAUUUUAUUCCUUUGAAGUAGGGAAAAAUUGGCUUUACGCAAAAACUGUAACCAUAGAGCUUUCCACCAGCCAAAUAUGCAUAUAGUAUAGUUGUUGCAUUCCAUUACUCUCUAUGUGUUACCUUGCCAGCAUAUUCCAUGUGCUGACCCGUUUCGGGCUGCAACGUUAAUGUUGCAGACUUUUCAGAUGACGAUUGAGGAAUUUUAGGUCGUGGUUCUAUACUCAGUGAUGCCGUUGGAGUUGAUGGACUCACUUAUCUUCCAAGCCUUCCGCUGUUAUCGUUAUUAGAUGGCCUUAAGCCAUAUUUAUUGUAAUAAGUUCUCUUUUGAGACACUCGAUGUAAUAAGUGUGUGAUUGCUACUCUGCUAUAAAUCCUCCGAGUACUGUGUGGUGUCAGCAUUACUGAUCCAAGGAUGACAUCGGAGCACAGAGAUCAGACUGUUUAAGGUCUGGUCGCUACAUAUUCCAGUUGCAAUUGCUUGACCAUCUCAAUUUCCGAGUCACGGCUGGAAUGCACAGGACUGAGAUAGCCGGACAGCAUGUCACUAACAUUCAGAUGAGCAUAGUGAGAGAUAUCAAAUUGUACUUUCUGUCUUUCCAAGGCCUCCUGUUUAGCAGAAUGCCUGGCCAGCACAGUCGGAUUACCCGGCGCAACAAAUCUGCUGCCAGUGAUCAAAACGUCAUGGUCAGAAGAUGCUGGCAGGUUAGCUGAACCGGACGGUCUGACGGUGGAUGGAUCGACAAUGGUUUCGUCAGCUGACGGCUCAGGAGGGUCCAAUUGAGCAUGGACAGCUAAAUCUUCUGGCGCUUCAGAUUGAGUGGGAGGAGUUGAUGUUGCCAGUUCAGGUGCAGGAUUUUUUGGGUCCUCUGCCGGUUUAAUCACCUUGGCUUUCUUGGACUUUGCUUGACCGCUAAGAAAGAUUUUUAUGAAAUAGUUAGUAUAAUGAUGCAGUUUUAAAAAUGUAGAGGAAAGAUGAUUUUCCUUACCCAUGGGCAGUCUUGAAAGCCGGAAAUUGAGUUUGGGAUGAGUCGCCAGAAGAGCGAGAGACCUCCUGCAAAGGUAAAAUAAAGUUAAGAAUAUAAGGAAAUAAAUUCAUGGAUAAAAACAAAGGACAAAGGUGAAAGAAACCUCAUUCUGGCGUUUUUGAGGAGUUUUUUCUAAGUCGAAAGGUGGUUCAUCAUCAUCAUUAGUCCGGGCCAGAUGGCGGCUCUCAUGUUGCUGCUUUUUCAAAAGAAAAUGAGGGUCCAAAUAAGCCAAAGGGUGCAAAAACCUUACUUUCCGGGUUACCAGUCGAAGUUUCUGUCUCGGCAAAGGGGCUGAGUCGUAGGAAAUAGUUACCUCUUCUUCCGCGGCCUGGCUGGCCCCCGUGUCAUCCUGGCAAUAGUCAGUGUCAAUAAGAUAGUUGAAAAUUUGGCCAAGGGAGAAAGGGCUACCUCCGACUCAGAAACAUCAUCAAGCUGGAAGAUGUCAGAUGCAGUCUUCUUCUUGGGCUUCCGGGUCGUUCUCUUGGCGGCUACGGCAGCGGAUCUAGCCUUCUUGGUAGCUUCAUGAUCAUACUUGGCCUUCCAGAAGUCAGAUUUGUCCUGUAAACAAAUAAAGAGGUUAAAAGGUCAUGCAAGUAUUUAAACUACUGAGGUAAACACAAAAAGAGAAAAAGGUCAAGAAGUUACCUCUGGUGUCGGGUUAAGUUUGCAGAAGGGGUUUAAUCCAACCUUGCUGUAGUCCUCGUAUUUGCCAUUCACGAGGAUGGUAGACAUUGCAACAAUGUCUUCUUCAGUUAAUUGUACAGAGCUAUAACGCAGAGAAUCAUUUGGGCCUCCGCCAUACUUAUACAUCAACUUGGAUCGGCGGCUUAGAGGGAUGACCCGCCAUGAGAUCCAGCAAUGGAUCAGGUCAACUCCGGUUAAGCCAUUUCCCAAUAAAGCUUGAAUCCUUUUGACAGAUGGGAUAAGCUUCUUGCGUUCAGCAGUAGUAAGCUUGUCAGGGAGCACAAACUUGGAAUCAAGACGCUCUUCACGAUAACCCGGCAGUGGUUUUUCAUCAGCCGGUGAUGUAUCUUGGCAGUAGAACCAGGUUUGCUUCCAGUCUUUGGGAUGGCUCGGUAAGACCACUAAAGGAAAAACGGCACCUUGUCAGCGUUGAAUUGAAAUUCUGCCAAGUUCCAAGCUAAGGCCGUUGGUGCACUCAUUCUGGCGGUUCAAGUAAAAGUACUCUCUAAAGAGCUCCACAGUUGGUUCUUCUUGAAGAUAUACCUCACAAAGAACUUGAAAAUUGCAGAUGUUGGAUAUAGGGUUGGGUCCAAUAUCUUGUGGAUGAAGCUUGAAAAAAUGCAGGACAUCUUGGACGAACUUUGAGCCGGGUGGUGAGAAGCCCCGGUUCAUGUGAUCUGUGAAAACGAUAACUUCGCCGUCUUUGGACUAAGGUCGUUCUUCGUCCGGGUCAGGAGCACGAUAAGACAUAACGCUUUUCUCUGGCAAAAAUCCAAUGGUGACAAAUUAUUUCAAGGUAUCUUCAGUAACUGUGGAAGGCACCCGGUUGCAGACAGUUGGCGCUUUUGACGGCAUGAUGAAGAAAGGGCAAGCUGAAAAGAAAGUAAUUUGCCGGUUCAAUUUAUUGGUGGAGUUACAGGUUCAUGAUUAUAGUACAGAUGAGUAAUGGCGGCUUAAGUAAGGGCUAAUGACAUGUAAAGGAAAAAUAAGCCGGAGUCAUAAGCCGCCAUGACUAAAAAGUAUUUGAAGGUUGCCAGAAUCAAAAUUGACUAAAGUGUUGAGACAAACAGGUUUCCCAAGUUGUGGCUAUUAUUAUGGAUCAAAAUGGUUCAGAAAAUAAAAAUAAAGUUAGACCUAGAAAACGAGCACAGAGGAGUUUGUCAGCUCUAAAGAGGCAUUUAUACAGGAGAAGGGGAUCUGUUAGCUUCAAAAAUGGAUGAGAAAUAGCUACCUCAUAAGUUUUGUACUACUUUUAGAUCAAAAGAGGGUGCGGUAAGAGAAGUUGCAACGAAUCUAUGACGAACAACGAAGAACACAAGAAGGAAACCUCCCGAACCCUAAUGCAGAUCUAUGGGGGUGAGAAGGUGAGAGCUUACAGGUGCGGAGCUGCUGCGGAGGAUCGCCACCGUUCUCUGGAUAGACUCAGGGUGAUGCUGCGGCCAGAGUUGAGGACGACGGUGCGCUACGGUGGCGACGGAGCUCGAGCGGCAAAGAAGGUGCGAGAGGAAGAAGAAAGAGGAAGGACUGGCCGAGCCUAUUUAUAAGGGGGUAAGUGAACGGGCAGACGCAAAAAUUGAGGAAGACCAAAGUAAUGAUUAUCCAGCUAAAUGGACGCCUCGAUCUUCGGAAAACAUUUAAGAUAAGGAUCCGUUGAAGAUGAAAUCGUGGUGUUUUUCCAAAUUUUUUCAAUCCUAAUGGUUGGUUAAUAAAAUAAGCUCAGUGAAUAUACAAGGCGAUAGUUUAUUAUAAGACUUGUAGUAGGCCCAAGCCCAAAGGCGGUUUAAGGCCCAUAAUUGUAAACCGCCAUGUAUAAGAAAGACUUGUAAAGAAAGGCAUGUAAGAGAAGUCACCGAGCCGAACACGUUAUAUGAGCCGGCCGGGACUCUGUAGGCUGCCAGGCGUCAACCCAUGUAUAUAAGGGGAUGACCCGGUGGCUGCUUAGGACAAGUAACAUCAAAUCAAGAGCCAUGCAUAGCGUAUUUGCUCCCUGAUCAUCGAAACCUAGCAAUAUCACAUCAACUGGACUAGGCUUUACCUUCACCGUAAGGGGCCGAACCAGUAUAAACCUUUCGUGUCCUUUGUCCCGAUUAACCCCUUUAAGCUUCCUAGUUGCGAUGGCUCCACGGCUAAGUCCUUUCACUAGGACAUCAUCCGUGACAAUUCCACGACAACUCUGGUGCGGAUCUUACUAUGGUUGACCUACGAGGUUCAGCGGUAACUUGAUCUGAAGUUUCAUGAUCAUCAUCAUUAGCUUCCUCACUAAUUGGUGUAGGAAUCACUGGAACUAAUUUCUGUGAUGAACUACUUACCAAUUCGGGAGCAGGUACAAUUGCCUCAUCAAGUUCUACUUUCCUCCCACUCACUUCUUUCGAGAGAAAGUCCUUCUCUAGAAAGGAUCCUUUCUUAGCAACGAAUAUAUUGCCUUCGGAUCUGUGAUAGAAGGUGUACCCAACAGUCUCCUUUGGGUAUCCUAUGAAGACACAUUUCUAUGAUUUGGGUUCGAGCUUAUCAGGUUGAAGCUUUUUCACAUAAGCAUCACAGCCCCAAACUUUAAGAAACGACAACUUAGGUUUCUUGCCAAACCACAGUUCAUAUGGUAUCAUCUCAACGGAUUUAGAUGGUGCCCUAUUUAAAGUGAAUGCAGUCUGAAAGUGCGUUAUAUCGACUAGAGGGGGGGUGAAUAGGCGAUUUUUAUGAAAGUCUUCAAAACAUGGAAGUUUCGAAGACAAACGAUAGAAAUAAACCUAUUACCAUGCAGUGGAAGUUAGACUACACUAGAUAAACCGUAGUCAUGUAUUCAAUGAAGUGAAAGGACAAUGACUAAUAGUAGCUAGGUAGUAAGGAUCAGGCAGGAAGAUAUUAAGAAGCCAAACGGAUCACACAGUCACUCAGUGAAGACAAAAGAUAGAGAAAACAUACAAUGACUUCACACAGAGUAACAGUAAGUAAAGAGAAGGGAAGGAUGAAACCAGUGACUCGUUGAAGACAAAGAUUUGUUGGACCAGUUCCAGUUGCUGUGACAACUGUACGUCUGGUUAGGGCGGCUAGGUAUUUAAACCAAAGGACACACAGUCCCGGACACCCAGUCCUGAACACGCAGCUCAGGACAUCCAGUCCUCACCGUAUUCCCCUUGAGCUAAGGUCACACAGACCUCGCCCAAUCACUCUGGUAAGUCUUCAAGGUAGACUCCCAAACCUUCACAGACUUCGUUCACCGGCAAUCCACAAUGUCUCUUGGAUGCUCAGAACGCGAUGCCUAACCAGCUGGAGGAUGCACAGUCCUCAAGUGUAAUAAGUCUUCAGAUCACUCAGACAAGAAGACUUAAGUGAUGCCUAAUUCUCUUUCGCUCUGGGUGGUUAGGGCUUUAUCCUCGCAAGGAAUUCUCUCUCAAAGGCUUCGAGGUGGGUUGCUCUCAAACGACAAAAGCCGUACUUUGAAUCUGAGUAGCCAACCGUUUAUGGUUGUAGGGGGUGGGCUAUUUAUAGCCACUAGGCAACCCGACCUGAUUUGUCCGAAAUGACCCUGGGUCACUAAGGAACUAACAUGUGUUCCAACGGUCAAAUUUCAAACUCACACGGAAACUUUACUUGGGCUACAAGCAAAGCUGACUUGUCCGACUCUGGACAAGAUUUUCUCUCAUAGUCUUCACUCGAAGACAUAGGUUUUUGUUUAAGCAUCACUUUAGUCAUUCUGACUGGCUCUCUUGGACCCCACUUAACAGUAUGUUGGUUCCUAUGACUCAACACAGAAGAAAAAGAACUACGAAAAAUCUAAGUGUUCAAGCUCCAUAGGCUUCAUGCGGUGUCUUCUCUUGUCAUAGUCUUCAAUGUGAAUAUCUUCAUAUACCACCUUUGACAUCAAUGUCUUCAUACACUUUUAGGGGUCAUCUCUGGUGGGAAAACCGAAUCAAUGAGGUACUUCUACCUGUGUUAUCCUGCAAUUCUCACAAACACAUUAGUCCCUCAACUAGGUUUGUCGUCAAUACUCCAAAACCAACUAGGGGUGGCACUAGAUGCACUUACAAUCUCCCCCCUUUUGGUGAUUGAUGACAAACUAGUUGAAGUUUUCAACGGGGAAUAUAAUGUGUGAAAUUGUAAAGGAUAAGGAAUUGUCUUCAUAAGUUACAAGGGCUCCCCCUGAAGAUGUGCAUAUAAGUAAUUUGCUUUUGGAAUGCAAAUGCACAUGGCAGGUUGUGCUUGUGGAGAUCCACUUCAACUUAUGAUGACAAUCCACUAUGCAUGUGAAAGUAUGUGAAGAUAAUGACAUGCAUAAUGGAAAAUGGAUGUCUGCAGAAUGAUCUAAGUGCGGAAUCUAUCAUCGCACAUGCGGAAUUUAUCAUCACAACACAAGGUAGCAAAUAGGUAGCAGACGACCAUCAAGUUUAAGUGUUACAACUCAAAGAACCAAAUGUUUCAAAACGAGAGUUGUAAGCACGAAGCAAAAUAUAAAACACCCGCCCAUAUGGACCCAUUUGAAGACUAUCAAACUCAUAUGCUUCUCCCCCUUUUGACAGUAAGGACCAAAAAGGUUUGAAGACAUAGAGCCUCUACUCGUUCCCAUGAGGAGUAGGUGAAGCAGCAGGAUCGUUGAUGGUGUUUGGCAGUGCAGACGAGCUUGGAGCAGUGUCGACGUGUGCUGAAGGAGGCGGCGAAGAAGUAGCAUCGUCUUCAUCCUCGAUCACUCUGGCAUUCACGGUUGCAGUAGAGGAAGAGAACUCAGGGUCUUCAAGUGAUGGAGUUCGUCGCAGCACAGCCCUGCGAGGAGGUGUGGAGUCAAACUUGAAGCGCUCAGUGAAGCCAUCCUCUUGCAGAUCAUCUUCAGAACACAGCAGCGUCAGCCCUUUCCAUGUGCGUCGAGAUGUUUCAUGAGCAACAAAGGCGUUCUUGGUGGCAAGAUUGUGAAUGCGAUUAACAUCCACCAAGAGGCUUUGCAUUUGACGCUUUAGCCAGUCAUGAUGCCUAUCCUGUUUCUGAUGAAGGGCCACCAGAAGCUCUCGGUCAUUGAGGACACGAGUGCGCUUCUUGGGUCGUUGAGCAAUGGUGCUAUCAGUGGCUUCAGUAAGAGCAGGAUGCGGGGCACGGGUAGUGCCAGCCAAAGGAUACACACGUGUUACUGCUUCAAUGCCUUCAACGUUCCGAGAGAAACUUUGAUGCUCUGCAUUCUGAAGACUUAGAGGUUCCUUGGCAGGCUCAGGAUAUAUGGCUUCAAUAGACAUAUCCACAUCAGGCAAAAAGAUCCGAUGAUUGCGGGCAGAUGGCUGAUAUGAGAUAGCAGAGUGAAGUUUGAUCAGCCGCAUCACCCAAGGGGCGUAGAACUUCAACCCAAAUAGAUCAGAGCCAGAUGCAGCAAGUUGGCGAAUGAAGAAAUCCUAUGUAUUGAAGCAUUUUCCAUGAAGAAUAUAGAAGACCAAAGUCUUCAUUGCACCUUCCAGCUGGGCAUGGGGAGAAUGUCCUUUGAUUGGCCAGAGAGUUCGCCUUAUGAUAUGAUAAAUGGUCCUUGGCAGAUACUCAAGGUCUUCAACAAAGAACUCCGUGGGAUAAGCAGCAUCUUGGGGCAAUGGCUUCAUCAUACUGAGCAUCUGACUCAUAUUGGGUUCAGUCUUCUGAAAGAUGCUCUCAACAGCUUCAAUGUGAAGCUGACAGCCAUGCUCAUAGAGAUCGCCAGGAGUGGGCAAGCCAGUGAGCUCAAUGAUGUCAAAGACUUUGGCUUCGUGAUGAACAUUUCCAGUCAUCCACUCUAGGACCCAAGUCUUUGGAUCUCUGUUAUACCCGCGGAUGUGAAGUGUGGCAUAGAACUGGAGCAGCAACUCUUCAUUCCAAUGCUCUUGGUCAGUGACGAAUGGUAGCAGCCCAACUUCAUUGAAGCAAUCCAAAGCUUCUUCCAGACAGGCAGACCAGCUAUAGCUUCAAUGUCAAGGCGCUUGUGUGGGAAGAUGCGACCUUUGUUGUAAAGAAUGCAUGAGUAAUAGCUUCGCUGCUGAUAGCUCCAGAACCGAUCAGAUGAUAUUCUUUCCCUGGAGUAGGGGUUCCUGGAGCUAUUGAAGAAUGUGUUGUCUGCUCUGAAGCCAUUGAUGUUAAAGGAGCCAGGUGCUAAUGCAGGACCUGGGAACCUGGGCAAUCUUGGGAUUGGCUUCUGGACCUGAGGCCUGUGCUCAACAUGAUAGUCGAAUUGGGGACCGGCAGCAGACGCAGGAACAGGAGCAGCAGGAUUAGUGGCUUCGCUGACUUCUGGUGCUGUUGGGGGUGAGGGCUCCACAUUAGCUUCAGCCAUGACGGUGUCAGUGGCUUCAGUGGUGUUGGUGGUGGCAGCCUCUAGAUUUUCAACCUCCACUUGACGAGCUGGAGGGUCGGUCAUGAUCACGUUCUCCUCGAGAACCGCUUCUUGGUGGGGCAGGGGAGUAGCAGCUUGUGGAACUUCUUCUUCCGUGGCUGAUGCAGCUAGAUUGUCUUCAGCAGAGACUUGAGGCCUUGGACCUUUGUGAAGCCUGCGCAACGCGGGCGAUGCCUGUGGAGCUGGAGUGGGCUGGGCCUCAUAGUCUUCUUCCUCUUGUUGGCGAUCCGCCCAUGAAGCAUCCUGUGCCAUUGGCGUCAGUGGACGACCAAUGCUGAUGAGUUCGUUGUUUUCAAGCUGAGGAAGAACUGCACCAUCUUCUACAUGGUCAUGUUGACCAAUGUCUUCAGCAGUGAUGGGAUCAGCUGUUGGAAAGUCUUUAGCUUUAUGAGCCUCUGUGGAAGCAGGCUCAUGGAUUGUCAGUUGGCGUUCAGCUUCAGGAUAGACCAUUGAAAUAGGUUCAACUAUCAAAGGCUCUGUGGGAGCAGCCUGUUCCUUCUUGGUCUUUCGUUUCUUCUUGGAGGGGGCAGUAGGAGAGGCUUCAGGAUGUUUCCUCUUCCUGGCUUCAGCCUCAGCAGUCCUUGUCUUCUUGAGCUCUGAAGCGGUUGACCGGCUUUUUGGCUUCAAGCCAGUCAGUCUAGUUGGGAAGACAAUCGGAACUGCUUCCUGCCUUGGUGCGUCGGAUUCAGCCGUAGCAGUCUUCUUCUUCUUCUUUGCGGCCAUCCUAGGGUCAAUGCCAGGACGCCCAAGGGCCUUGCGCUUCUCAGCCUCAUUGUAGGCUUGCACACAUCUGUCAGCCAGAGCCUUCAUGCGCUCACGUGAAUCCCGAGCUUCUGCACAUUUCUUCAGAAAGGCUUCCUUGAGCUCGUGCAUCAUGAUCUUGAAGUUCUUCACUUCUUGCACACUGAGCUUGGCCAUAUGCUUCUUGAACUGAGCCUUUUCAUAGUCAAUCUUCUGCUUUAGUUCAACAACGUGUCGGGCGAUGGCUAGCUCUGAAGCAAUGGCGCCUUGGAAGGCGACACUGAGGCCAAUGGGUAGCUGCAGAUCAUCAAAGCUGAUGUUUGGCAUAUCAAACCACUCGUCAAUGAAGUUGUGGAUGAUGGUUACAUCAAAGAGAGGCAGAUCAUUGAAGAUUUCGGCUUCUUCUUUGCUCUUGAUGAGUUGCUCAAGAGCGUCAUCUGCAAGAUCUUCAUCACUUGACAGAUCAAUGUCAUCAUUGCGCAGAAUGGCAGCAGCUGUUAGCUCUUGGCCGGUGUGUGGCAGAGGCAUCUUGGCCUUCUAGGGCUUGGAGAUGCGUGAUAAAUCUUCGGACUGCACACUGUCUUCAGGAGAUGCAGUUGCCAGUGGCUUCGCCCUUGAGAUUUUUGGUGAAGGGGCAGGCUUUGAAGCUUUGGGCUUCUUCAACUUCUUUGGUGUUGGCGCUGCAGGCGCUUCAUCUGAUUCAGCGUUAGCUGCAGGCUCAUUCACGGUUGUCCCUUGAACCAAGAUAUGGGUGAUGAGUCCUGCAAGGUUGUAGAAAGGACCGACGACAUUGGGUUCCGCAUCGCGUGUGCCGUCAGCCCUUGGAGCAGAAGGACCAGGGUUGAAGUCUAAUCCAAAAGACUUCUUGUUCUGCUUUGCUGAGUUCUUGGCAAACUGGAAGUUGCGCUUGAAUAGAUUGUCGUCACGGCACCAUAGUAGUGACGAUGGGUGUGCAUCUGCAGGCUGUGGCCCACGCACCAUGCAGGGAUAGAAGCCUUGUUCAAUGGCUUCUUCUCUGGACCUGGGUUGAAGAUUCUUGUAUAGGAUGUCUCCCCAUGGUCUCUUGAUGGCAUUUCUCUCAGCAUAUUCCUGGGUCACAAACCGGUAUUUGAACCAUUGUUCUGCCCAAUAUCUUCGAAUCCAUUGGAUUCGGGUCUUGCGCUGAUUAUAAUCCUGUUCAGGAUCUGUCUUGUAAAGCUCUGAGAGGUCAUCAGGAAAAUCUCUUGAUGUCCCCCCACGACGCUGUCUGCCACCCUUCCUUACUGAUUUCUCUGCAGCCAUGAACUUCAAACUGAAAGGCUUCAAAACGUUCAAAGGCUUCAAAGGUUUUCGCUUGCUGGACAAACAGGAACUGGCUUCGGGAGAAUUUAUAUGAUGCUGUAAGAAUUCUGCAAAUGAAUGCAGACUAUGAGAACCAAGGGAUUCUCCCAUGGACAUGUACCUGUGACAACAUUAAGGUGCAAGGGAAGGGGAAGAGGUCAUAUGCAUUCUCAGGAGAUUUUGAAGAUAAAUCAGUUUAGAAGACAUUGACCUCAUCGUGCGAAGACAUUCACUCAUAGAUAAGGAGUUGGUUCCAGAUUUGUACGAAUCCAGUGAUCAGUACAAGUGAGGAAUCUAACUACUUGUGAAGCAUAAGUGAAUAUACUAGGCAUGUUAUGAGAUGCAGUAGGAAAGAGAUCCAACUUGUGUGAAUAGAAACUUCUUAUGGUAGAAAGUGACAAAGCCAUAGGAUCAAAAGGGGCCGUAAAAAGAAGUUUUAUUUACCACACUUGGAACUGCUAGAUGGAGUGGAAGAGGAGGCCGAGCAGUUCGAUCUUCUGUGCCCUAACUUGGCGACGAAGGACACCUACGGCGACGGCGGAGAGGACGAUGUCCGCGGUCGGUGUGAAGACGGCGUCGGAGAGGUUGCGGCAGUGAAGCGCUUCGUCGCCGGCGUCGUCGAGGGCUAGCAGUGGCACUAGGGUUCGUGCGAGGGUGGAAGAAGAGAUGAUGACCGCUGUGAAGGGUGUAUUUAUAGGUACAGGGGCGGCACUGCGUUAUUACACAGGUGCCCCUGGCGAUUCACAUCUGAGGAACACGUGGCCAUCAUGCAGUAUAUUGGGGUUUGUUCCACGUCUCACGCACGCCUAGAUUGUCGGGUGGUCGUUCCUACUUCUCCGGGUUUCAUGUGGAGGAAUGGGCAUUGAAAACGGACUUAAUGUUUGUCUCUGUAUGUUCUGCUGACAAGGACGCAGAGAAGACAUUCGACAGUUUCAAUAGAAUGCAUAUGAUUUGGAGAGAUAGAGUUUGAGAUAGAGAGCACAGAGAGGUUAGGGUCCGAUCACAUUCACUUAGAUCAAAAGAUUCAACAAGAAGACAUAGCUAUAAGUGAAUACUGUAGAGGACAGAACACUAGUAUAUAUAUAUAUAUAUAAUCAACAUAGUGAAGAUAAUCAUGAAAACAUGUUGAGAUUGAAACCAAACCAAAUGUGAAGUCAUAGCAAGGUAAUGCCAUGAGUGAAACACUUCAAAUAGAACAUUUGGUGGUGGCGUUACCCACCGUAUAGGAAGUAUUAGACCCAGACACGGCGCACAAUUAUCGUGGCGCUCCGAAGUCAAAUUCCACAUUAAUGUAUUCACACUUAGAAUGUAUGUCUUCAUUGAUUGAAGAUAUACUUUACUUCGUGUGUUGCACAUCUAAGUCAUCAAUAUGCAUAAGGGUUAGGAUGUGUGCCUGAUCACAGGACAUUUGAGGAUUCCAGGAUAUUUAGCUCACAUCGUAACUUGCAAAAUCUCUUCUCAUCCAAGGGCUUGGUGAAGAUAUCUGCCAAUUGCUCUUCAGUGUUGACGUGUAUGAUAUCAAUAUCUUCCUUCACAACAUGAUCUCUGAGAAAGUGAUGACGAAUUUCAAUGUGCUUUGUCUUCGAGUGCUGAACAGGGUUGUUGGCAAUCUUGAUGGCGCUUUCGUUGUCACAGUAGAGUGGCACUUGCUUCAGAUGAAUGCCAUAGUCCUUGAGGGUUUGCUUCAUCCACAGAAGCUGAGCGCAGCAAGAUCCAGCAGCAAUGUAUUCAGAUUCAGCAGUGGAGAGAGAUACACAGUUCUGCUUCUUUGAAGACCAACAUACAGGUGAUCGUCCCAGAAAAUGACAUGUGCCUGAUGUAGACUUGCGAUCCACCUUGUCACCAGCAUAAUCAGCAUCCGAGAAUCCAACCAGAUCAAACUCUGAGCCCUUUGGAUACCAUAAUCCUAGAGUUGGGGUGUGAGCCAAAUAUCGAAGAAUUCGCUUCACAGCUAGGUGAUGCGACUCCUUUGGUGCCGCUUGAAAUCGAGCACACAUGCAAACACUAAGCAUAAUAUCUGGCCUAGAUGCACAUAGAUAAAGCAAAGAACCAAUCAUGGAGCGGUAUACCUUUUGAUCGAACUCUUUACCAUUGUCGUCAGGACCCAGAUGAUGCUUGGCUGGUAUUGGCGUCGUGAACCCUUUGCAGUCUUGCAUACCGAACUUCUUAAGGCAAUCCUUGAGAUGCUUCUCUUGAGAUAUGAAGAUGCCGUUGCGUUGCUGUCGUAUUUGAAUACCGAGGAAAAACUUCAGCUCUCCAUCAUGGACAUCUGAUAUUGCUCUUGCAUCAUAUAUCCAAACUCUUCACUGUACUUCUGAUUGGUGCAGCCGAAGAUAAUGUCAUCCACAUAUAUUUGGCACACAAACAGUUAACCAUCAUAUGUCUUCGUGAAGAGAGUGGGGUCGAGGGAACCAGGUAUGAAGCCUUUGCUCUUCAGGAAGUAUUUGAGUGUGUCAUACCAGGCCCGAGGGGCUUGUUUGAGGCCAUAUAGUGCCUUGUUGAGCUUGUAUACCGUAUCAGGAUGUUUUAGAUCUUCAGAGCCAGGUGGUUGUGCAACAUACACUUCUUCUUCAAUCUUUCCAUUGAGAAAGGCGCUCUUCACAUCCAUUUGAUAAAGAAGUAUGUUGUGAUGAUUUGCAUAGGCCAGCAGUAUGCGUAUGGCUUCAAGUCUAGCCACAGGAGCAAAUGUUUCAUUGAAGUCAAUGCCUUCCACUUGAGUAUAUCCUUGAGCAACUAGACGAGCUUUGUUUCUGACAACUUGACCAUGCUCAUCUUGCUUGUUGCGGUAUAUCCAUUUUGUGCCUAUUAUGUUGUGCUUCCGAGGAUCAGGACGCUUAACCAGUUCCCAUACAUUAUUCAGCUCAAACCGUUGAAGCUCUUCUUGCAUAGCUUGAAUCCAUUCAGGUUCCAUGAAGGCUUCUUCCACUUUCUUGGGUUCUGUUAUUGAGACGAAUGCGAAGUGCCCACAGAAAUUUGCCAGCUGGGUUGCCCUUGAUCGACUGAGCGGACCAGGUGCAUUGAUGCUGUCAAUUAUUCUCUCAAUUUGCACUUCAUUGGCAACACGAGGAUGUACAGGGCGAAGACUUUGCUCUUGCUGAUCAUUGUCGUUGUUGGAGGGAUUGUCUUCAGGUUGAGCAUUGUCUUCAGGUUGAUCUGGUGCAGAGAUGAUGAGUUCCUCUUCAGGAUGAGCUUUAGAAGGUAUGAUUUCUCCAGUUCCCAUUAGCUUGAUUGAUUCACUGGAUGGAACUUCAUCUAGCACAUUUGGCAGGUGCUCUCUUUGUGAACCGUUAGUCUCAUCGAACCGCACAUCCACGGUUUCAACCACUUUAUAAUGAAAGAGGUUGAAGACUCUGUAGGAGUGCGAAUCCUUUCCAUAUCCAAGCAUAAAACCCUCAUGUGCUUUUGGGGCAAACUUUGAAGUGUGAUGUGGGUCCUUGAUCCAGCACCUUGCGCCAAAUACUCUGAAGUAACUGGCAUUUGGCUUCUUGCCAGUGAGGAGCUCAUACGAUGUCUUGUUCAGAAGCUUGUGAAGAUAAACACGAUUGAUUGUAUGGCAUGCAGUAUCAAUGGCUUCAGGCCAGAAUUUUCUUGGAGUCUUGUAUUCAUCUAGCAUUGUUCUGGCCAUCUCAAUGAGUGUUCUGUUCUUGCAUUCGACGACGCCAUUCUGCUGUGGCGUGUACGGGGCUGAGAAUUCAUGUGUGAUGCCCAAGGUAUCAAGAUAUGUAUCAAGGCCAGUGUUCUUGAAUUCAGUGCCAUUGUCACUUUUGAUGUGCUUUAUCUUGGCACCAUAGUUGUUCAUUGCUCGAUUGGCGAAGCGUUUGAAGACAUCCUGCACUUCAGUCUUGUAAAGGAUUAUAUGCACCCAAGUGUAUCUAGAAUAAUCAUCAAUAAUGAAGAAGCCAUAGAGACAAGCAGUAGUAGUAAGAGUUGAGUAAUGAGUGGGACCGAAAAGAUCCAUGUGAAGCAGCUCGAAGGGUCGAGUAGUAGUCAUGAUUGUCUUCGAGGGAUGCUUGGCCCUCGUCAUCUUUCCUGCUUCACAGGCACCGCAUAAGUGAUCUUUCUUGAACUUGACGCCCUCAAUGCCUAUGACAUGCUUCUUCUUUGCCAGGGUGUGGAGGUUCCUCAUGCCAGCAUGCCCAAGCCUCCGAUGCCAGAGCCAGCAUUCUGAAGCUUUUGCUAGAAGACAUACGGCAAGUUGUGGUCCUGCUGAGAAAUCUACCACGUACAGAUCGUCUUUCCGAUACCCUUCAAACACUAGAGACUUGUCAGAUUCCAUUAGAACAAGGCAACAAUAUUUUCCAAAUAUUACGAUCAUGUUCAAAUCGCAUAGCAUUGAGACAGACAUUAAGUUGAAGCCAAGGGAUUCAACAAGCAUGACUUUAUCCAUGUGUUGAUCCUUUGAGAUUGCAACUCUACCUAGACCCAAUACCUUACUUUUACCAGUGUCAGCAAAUGUGAUGUGGCUCUUGUCGGAAGGACGUAAGGUUGAGUCCAUCAGAAGGCUUCUUUUGCCAGUCAUGUGAUUUGUACACCCACUAUCAGUAAUCCAUUCUGUAUACGCUGGUGUCGUACCCUACAGUGCAGUUAGGGGGAUAGGCUUCACGAAGAGAGUUGUGAAGCAAAAACAUUUGACGAACCAGUGGGUUAUGAAAGCUUAGAUCCAGAUUAGUACUGAUAGGGAGAGUAGCAAGCGAUUCAGGAACGAAGUACAUAGUAAGACCAUUCGGCAUUUGAUCUUGCGCCCUACAAGAUGUUUAAGGUCCCCAGCGAUAGCGUCAGAAGAUUUUGGUUUUCUGCUGGAGACCUUUCCCUGCAAAAGAGAGUUAAGCCUUCUUAACAACCCACAUCUUCAAGGGUGGCUUAGAAGCGAUAAGUCUAAGUGCAGAGUCUGAAAACUUUGGCUUUGGGGCUCUAGCAAAAAGUCUUGCAGGUGGACAAUAAUACUCAUAAGAAUAAGCAGAAUAGUUUUUGGUCUUAUGAACAUGGCGGUUCGAUGAACCGCGCUCAUAUUCAUAGGCCUGAGUAUGGUUUCCCUGCAAAACAUUUGCAUUAGUCCGACUCAGGUGAGUCCUCUGUCUGUAUGAAGCCUUUGGGCCAUAUGAAGCCUGUGGUCUGGGGUUUGUCUUCUUCAUCUAUGGUGUCAUGAUGACAUUCACAGGAAGAUUUUCCAAACACCUUUUGGGCACCCAGACCUUCUUCAUAGGCGGUCCAUUCCUGCAGUUAGUACCAAUGUACCUGGCAAAAACUUCACCAUUCUGAUUCUUAAAUAGUUUAUAGUUUGCAUCAAAGGAUUCAUCAAUGACAAUGGGGUUAGCACAAGUGAAGCCAGAUAGACUGGAUGGAUUUGCUGAAGGUUCCUUUGCAGCAACCCAUGUGGUUUUGGGAUACUGCUCGGGUUUCUAGUAAGAGCCAUCAGCAUUCAUUUUCCUUAUGAACCCAACACCCUCUUUCCUCGGGUUUCGGUUCAGAAUCUGCCUUUUGAGGACAUCACAUAGUGUCUGAUGCCCUUUAAGACUUUUGUACAUCCCUGUUUCAAGCAAUGUCUUCAACCUAGCAUUCUCAUCAGCAAUCGCAGUAGUAUCCUCAGUAGAGGGGUUAGUUACCACAUCAACAGUUGAAGAUAUUGCAACAGUAGCAGUAGUAGAACAUUCAGCAACAGAAGCAGCAUUAUCACGCUCAAUGCAUUUAAGACAUGGUGGUUCAAAUCCUUCCUGAGCGGAACUGAUCUGUUCGGCGCGAAGUGACUCGUUUUCCUUUUGAAGAUCUUCAUGAGCCGCUCUCAAUUUCUCAAGAUCUUGCUUCCUUUGAAGAUAAUCAUAGGAAAGCUUUUCAUGAGUUGUUGAGAGCGUUUCAUGACAACUUUCAAGUUCCUCAUAUUUAACGUGAAGAUUUUUUAUGUCUUGAAUUAAGGAUUCAGAUCGAGUCAUUUCAACGCCCAACAAAUCAUCGCUUUUGUCUAACAGUUUUUGAAUAUGUUCCAUGGCUUUCUGUUGUUCAGUUGCAAUUUUAGCAAGUGUUUUGUAGCUGGGUCUUGAAUCACAAUCAGAGUCAUCAUCACUAGAUGUUUGAUAGUGAGUAGUGCGUGUGUUUACCUUGGCACCGUGUGCCAUGAAGCAGUAGGUAGGAGCAGAGUCGUCCUUGUCAUUUGCAUCGGCGUCGGUGGUGAAGUCAUUGUCUUCAGUGUUGAAGAUGGACUUGGCAACGUAUGCUGUAGCCAGACUUGCAACACCAGAAUCGGACUCCUCCUCAGACUCCACCUCCGCCUCCUCAGACGCGGACUCCUCCUCUGAAUCCAUUUCCUUGCCAACAAACGCACGUGCCUUGCCAGAUGAGCUCUUCUUGUGUGAUGAAGACUUUGAGGAAGACUUGGAAGAAGACUUUGAGUAUUUCUUCUUCUUCUUGUCGUCAGAGUCAUAUUCCUUGCUCUUCUUCUUCUUUCUAUUCUCAUUGUCCCACUGCGGACACUCAGAGAUGAAGUGGCUAGUUUUCUUGCACUUGUGACAUGUUUUCUUCUUGUAGUCAUGAGCAGAAGCUUCAUCAUUCCUUGAGCUUGAUCGUGAAGACUUUCUGAAGCCUUUCUUCUUGGGGAAUCUUUGGAACUUCUUUACAAGCAUAGCAAGUUCCUUUCCAAUGUCUUCAGGAUCGUCAGAACUGCUGUCAGAUUCUUCUUCAGAUGAGGAGACAACUUUUGCCUUCAGGGCACGAGUUCGCCCAUAGUUUGGACCGUAGAUAUCUCUUUUCUCAGAAAGCUGAAACUCAUGUGUGUUGAGCCUCUCAAGUAUGUCGGACGGAUCGAGUAUCUUGAAAUCAGGUCGUUCUUGAAUCAUCAGGGCUAGGGUGUCAAACAAACUGUCAAGUGAUCUCAGUAGUGUCUUGACGACUUCAUGCUUGGUGAUCUCAGUGGCGCCGAGCGCUUGAAGCUCAUUUGUGAUGUCAGUGAGUCGGUCAAAUGUGAGCUGGACAUUCUCAUUGUCAUUUCGCUUGAAGCGGUUAAAGAGGUUGCGAAGAACGCUGAUUCUCUGAUCUCUCUGGGUUGAGACGCCUUCGUUGACCUUGGAGAGCUAGUCCCAGACCAGCUUCGAUGUUUCCAAAGUGCUCACACGGCCAUACUGUCCUUUGGUCAGAUGACCACAGAUAAUGUUCUUGGCAGUAGAGUCCAGUUGAACGAACUUCUUGACAUCAGCAACAGUGACACCUUCUCCAGCCUUGGGAACGCCGUUCUUGACGACAUACCAUAGGUCGACGUCAAUGGCUUCAAGAUGCAUGCGCAUCUUAUUCUUCCAGUAGGGAUAUUCAGUUCCAUCGAAGACGGGGCACGCAACGGAGACUUUAAUUAUCCCUGCAGUCGACAUAGCUAAAACUCCAGGUGGUUAAACCGAAUCACACAGAACAAGGGAGCACCUUGCUCUCAUACCAAUUGAAAGUGCAUUAUAUCGACUAGAGGGGGUGACUAGGCGAUUUUUAUGAAAGUCUUAAAAACAUGGAAGUUUCGAAGACAAAUGAUAGAAAUAAACCUAUUACCAUGCAGCGGAAGUUAGACUACACUAGAUAAACCAUAGUCAUGUAUUCAAUGAAGUGAAAGGACAAUGACUAAUAGUAGCUAGGUAGUAAGGAUCAGGCAGGAAGAUAUUAAGAAGCCAAACGGAUCACACAGUCACUCAGUGAAGACAAAAGAUAGAGCAAACAUACAAUGACUUCACACAGAGUAACAGUAAGUAAAGAGAAGGGAAGGAUGAAACCAGUGACUCGUUGAAGACAAAUAUUUGUUGGACCAGUUCCAGUUGCUGUGACAACUGUACGUCUGGUUAGGGCGGCUAGGUAUUUAAACCAAAGGACACAUAGUCCCGGACACCCAGUCCUGAACACGCAGCUCAGGACACCCAGUCCUCACAGUAUUCCCCUUGAGCUAAGGUCACACAGACCUCGCCCAAUCACUCUGGUAAGUCUUCAAGGUAGACUCCCAAACCUUCACAGACUUCGUUCACCGGCAAUCCACAAUGUCUCUUGGAUGCUAUAACGCGACGCCUAACUGGCUGGAGGAUGCACAGUCCUCAAGUGUAAUAAGUCUUCAUAUCACUCAGACAAGAAGACUUAAGUGAUGCCUAAUUCUCUUUGGCUCUGGGUGGUUAGGGCUUUAUCCUCGCAAGGAAUUCUCUCUCAAAGGCUUCGAGGUGGGUUGCUCUCAAACGACAAAAGCCGUACUCUGAAUCCGAGCAGCCAACCGUUUAUGGUUGUAGGGGGUGGGCUAUUUAUAGCCACUAGGCAACCCGACAUGAUUUGUCCGAAAUGACCCUGGGUCACUAAGGAACUGACACGUGUUCCAACGGUCAGAUUUCAAACUCACACGGCAACUUUACUUGGGCUACAAGCAAAGCUGACUUGUCCGACUCUGGACAAGAUUUGCUCUCAUAGUCUUCACUCGAAGACAUAGGUUUUUGUUUAAGCAUCACUUCAGUCAUUCUGACUGGUUCUCUUGGACCCCACUUAACAGUGCGGUGGUUCCUAUGACUCAACACAGAAGAAAAAGAACUACGAAAGAUCUAAGUCUUCGAGCUCCAUAGGCUUCAUGCAGUGUCUUCUCUUGUCAUAGUCUUCAAUGUGAAUAUCUUCAUAUACCACCUUUGACAUCAAUGUCUUCAUACAUUUUUAGGGGUCAUCUCUGGUGGGAAAACCAAAUCAAUGAGGUACUUCUACCUGUGUUAUCCUGCAAUUCUCAUAAACACAUUAGUCCCUCAACUAGGUUUGUCGUCAAUACUCCAAAACCAACUAGGGGUGGCACUAGAUGCACUUACACAGUCGUCUCUAAAGCAUAACCCCAAAAUGAUAGCAGUAAAUUAGUAAGAGACAUCAUAGAUCGCACCAUAUCUAAUAAAGUGCGGUUACGAUGUUCGGACACACCAUUAUGUUGUGGUGUUCCGUGUGGCGUGAGUUGCGAAACUGUUCUGCAUUGUUUCAAAUGAAGACCAAACACGUAACUCAAAUAUUCACCUCCACGAUCAGAUUGUAGAAACUUUAUUUUCUUGUUACGAUAUUUUUCCUCUUCACUCUGAAUUUUUUUGAACUUUUCAAAUGUUUCAGACUUAUGUUUCAUCAAGUAGAUAUACCCAUAUCUGCUCAAAUCAUCUGUGAAGGUCAGAAAAUAACAAUACCCGCCGCGAGCCUCAACACUCAUCGGACCGCAUACAUCCGUAUGUAUUAUUUCCAACAAGUCUAUUGCUCACUCCAUUGUUCCGGAGAAUGGAGUCUUAGUCAUCUUGCCCAUGAGGCAUGGUUCGCAAGCAUCAAGUGAUUCAUAAUCAAGUGAUUCCAAAAGUCCAUCAGCAUGGAGUUUCUUCAUGCGCUUUACACCAAUAUGACCUAAACGGCAGUGCCACAAAUAAGUUGCACUAUCAUUAUUAACCUUGCAUCUUUUGGCUUCAAUAUUAUGAAUAUGUGUGUCACUAUUGUCGAGAUUCAAUAAAAAUAGAUCACUCAUCAAGGGUGCAUGACCAUAAAAGAUAUUACUCAUAUAAAUAGAACAACCAUUAUUCUCUGAUUUAAAUGAAUAUCCGUCUCGCAUCAAACAAGAUCCAGAUAUAAUGUUCAUGCUUAACGUUGGCACCAAAUAACAAUUAUUCAGGUCUAAAACUAAUCCCGAUGGUAGAUGUAGAGGUAGCAUGCUGACGGCGAUCACAUCGACUUUGGAACCAUUUCCCACGCGCAUCGUCACCUCGUCCUUAGCCAAUCUUCGCUUAAUCCGUAGCCCAUGUUUCGAGUUGCAAAUAUGAGCAACAGAACCAGUAUCAAAUACCUAGGCGCUACUACGAGCAUUAGUAAGGUACACAUUAAUAACAUGUAUAUCAAAUAUACCUUUCACUUUGCCAUCCUUCUUAUCCAUCAAAUACUUGGGGUAGUUCCGCUUCCAAUGACCAGUCCCUUUGUAGUAGAAGCAUUCAGUCUCCGGCUUAGGUCCAGACUUGGGCUUCUUCACUUGAGCAACAACUUGCUUGUCAUUCUUCUUGAAGUUCCCCUUCUUCCCUUUGCCCUUUUUCUUGAUACUGGUGGUCUUGUUGACCAUCAACACUUGAUGCUCCUUCUUGAUUUCUACCUCUACAGCCUUUAGCAUUGCGAAGAGCUCGGGAAUUGUCUUAUCCAUCCCUUGCAUAUUAUAGUUCAUCAUGAAGCUUUUGUAGCUUGGUGGCAGUGAUUGAAGAACUCUGUCAAUGACACUAUCAUCAGGAAGAUUAACUCCUAGUUGAGUCAAGUGGUUGUGGUACCUGGACAUUUUGAGUAUAUGUUCACUAACAAAACUAUUCUCCUCCAUCUUACAGCUGUAGAACUUAUUGGAGACUUCAUAUCUCUCAAUCCGGGCAUUUGCUUGAAAAUUUUACUUCGACUCCUGGAACAUCUCAUAUGCUCCAUGAUGUUCAAAACGUUGUUGAAGUCCCGAUUCUAAGCCGUAAAGCAUGGCACACUAAACUAUCGAGUAGUCAUCGGCUUUGCUCUACCAGACGUUCAUAAUGUCCGGUGUUGCUUGAUACGUCUCCGUCGUAUCUACUUUUCCAAACACUUUUGUCCUUGUUUUGGACUCUAACUUGCAUGAUUUGAAUGGAACUAACCCGGACUGACGCUGUUUUCAGCAGAAUUACCAUGGUGUUAUUUAUGUGUAGAAAUAAAAGUUCUCGGAAUGACCUGAAACUUCAGGGAACGUCUUUUUGGAAAUAAUAAAAAAUCCUUGCAAAAGAUGAAGACCAGGGGGCCCACACCCUAGCCACGAGGGUGGGGGCGCGCCUGCCCCCCUAGGCGCGACCCCUACCUUGUGGGCCCCCUGGAGCUCCUCCGACCUCAACUCCAACUCUAUAUAUUUGCUUUCAGGGAGAAAAAAAUUAGAGAGAAGGAUUCAUCGCGUUUUACAAUACAGAGCCGCCGCCAAGCCCUAAAACCUCUCAGGAGGGCUGAUCUGGAGUCCGUUCGGGGCUCCGGAGAGGGGAAUCCGUCGCCAUCGUCAUCAUCAACCUUCCUCCAUCACCAAUUUCAUGAUGCUCACCGCCGUGCGUGAGUAAUUCCAUCAUAGGCUUGCUGGACGGUGAUGGGUUGGAUGAUAUUUAUCAUGUAAUCGAGUUAGUUUUGUUAGGGUUUGAUCCCUAGUAUCCACUAUGUUGUGAGAUUGAUGUUGCUAUGACUUUGCUAUGCUUAAUGCUUGUCACUAGGGCCCGAGUGCCAUGAUUUCAGAUCUGAACCUAUUAUGUUUUCAUCAAUAUAUGAGUGUUCUUGAUCCUAUCUUGCAAGUCUAUAGUCACCUACUAUGUGUUAUGAUCUGGCAACCCCGAGGUGACAAUAAUAGGGACCACUCCCGGUGAUGACCGUAGUUUGAGGAGUUCAUGUAUUCAUUAUGUGUUAAUGCUUUGGUCUGGUACUCUAUUAAAAGGAGGCCUUAAUAUCCCUUAGUUUCCGCUAGGACCCCGCUGCCACGGGAGGGUAGGACAAAAGAUGUCAUGCAAGUUCUUUUCCAUAAGCACGUAUGACUAUAUUCGAAAUACAUGCCUACAUUACAUUGAUGAAUUGGAGCUAGUUUUGUGUCACCCUAGGUUAUGACUGUUACAUGAUGAACCGCAUCCGGCGUAAUUCUCUAUCACCGAUCCAUUGCCUACGAGCUUUCCAUAUAUUGUUCUUCACUUAUUUACUUUUCCGUUGCUAUUGCUAUCAUCACUACAAAAUACCAAAAACAUUAAUUUUGCUAUCGUUACCUUUUGCUACCGUUACCACUACUAUCAUAUUACGUUGCUACUAAACACUUUACUACAGAUAUUAAGUUUCUAGGUGUGGUUGAAUUGACAACUCAACUUUCAACUGCUAAUACUUGAUAAUAUUCUUUGGCUCCCCUUGUGUCGAAUCAAUAAAUUUGGGUUGAAUACUCUACCCUCGAAAACUGUUGCGAUCCCCUAUACUUGUGGGUUAUCAAGACUAUUUUCUGGCGUCGUUGCCGGGGAGCAUAGCUCUAUUCUUUGAGUCACUUGGGAUUUAUAUCUGUUUAUCAUUAUGAAGAACUUGAGAGAUCCAAAAACCAAGAUUUAUCUCUCAACUACGAGGGGAGGUAAGGAACUGCCAUCUAGCUCUGCACUUGAUUCACCUUCUAUUUUGAGUAAGCUUGCGACACCUAAACCUGCUUCUGCUAUUCAUUCUGAUAUGUCGCAUGUUAUUAAUGAUGCCACUUGUGCUAUGCAUGAUACUUAUGAUGAAACUACUUCUAUGCUUGAUACUACUGUGCCACUUGGUGAAUUUCUUGAUGAACAACUUGCUAGGGUUAGAGAGAAUGAAAUUAUUGAAACUGAUAAUAUAUAUAUAUAUAUUUGAAUAUAUACUGUAGGGUAAAACCCCCACAGCCCUUUAUUGCAGUCUCAAAAAACAAACUGUACAGUGAAAGAAAGAGAUGACAAGCCUAAACGAAAAGUUAAGAAGAACUUACAAUUACAUGAGGGAGUUAACUCAAUCUACAAGCCUAGACUUAGAGCUAUCCUUAAACCUAUGUGACAGGAGAAGAAUGUCAUGUACAAAACUGCCCCUCCAGGCAACAAAAGUAGCCCGUAGUCCCCUGAAAGUUCUUCCAUUUCUCAGAAUCCAUAUAUUCCAAGCAGCUGUGAGCAUAACUUCAAAGAAGAAAGGAUACCCAAAUCGCUGCCUUGCUUGAGAUAUACAUUGCUGAAUAGAAGAACCAUGUGACCAAUCGAUCUGCAGGUAUUUCCAAACCCUGGCACUGAAAUUACAACCAAAGAAUAGGUGAGCCCUGUCCUCCCAAACAAAGGCAUUACAGAUGACACAUAGAUGAUCAGCCGUAGGGGACCUCCGGUGGCUGCGGACCAGCACGUCCUUUGUGUUGAGUCUGUCAAAGAAUAGGAGCCAGCCAAAAACCUUAAUUUUCAUAGUACAUAUGCUCUGCCAAAGCCACCUGCAGGGUUUAAUAGUUGGGAGGUGUGUAUGCAUGAUGUCAUAGAAGCUCUUUGCAGAAAACUGUCCAGAUUUACCAGGCCAAAUCCAAACAUCAGGCAAUGUUGGAUCUCUCUGGAGAUUGAACAUCCUUCCUUCCAAGGAUUCCAAUUCUGCUGCUGCCUGCUGAGAAAUUGGCAGAUGAAACAUUGAGAACAAAUCCUGGGUUUGCAAAAACUCCCUGACAGAAACCUUAUCAUCCAAAACAAAAGAGAAAAGCCUUGGUAAUCUGAGGCUUAGUGGCCUUGAAGAGCCACCUACAUGGCAAGCAUCCAGCCAAAAGAGAGCAGAAUCACCCAUAUUAACUGGCACUGAAGCAAUUGACCUAUAAGUGUCAGCAAGCUUGAGAAUGUCCUUCCACCAAAAGGAGCCAGUUAGGACUGUUGCAUGGGGCACCACUCCAUCAUAAUAACUAUCCCAAAUCAACUGGACCCAAGGAAUCUGCUGUUUGUUGUAGAACUUAUGCAUUUGUUUGAGAAGCAGACCUUGAUUUUGAACAUUGAGGUUGAGAAUGCCAAGUCCUCCCUUAUCCUUUGGUCUGCAAACUAAAUCACAGGCAGCUAGGGAUUGCUUAGGCACAUCAGAAUUUCCUCUCCACAAACACUGCCUGAAAAUCCUAUCCAACUGUUUGAUAAUACCAGGUGGGAUAUGCAAGCUGCAGAGGAAGUAUAUGGGCAUUGAAGUAAGCACAGAUGUGAGAAAUUGUAACCUGGAUCCUUGGUUGAGCAUGGCAGAGCUAACAGACAGUCUUCUUUCAAGACUAUCCACUAAAGGCAUGAAAUCAAUGAUUCUAGGUCUUGUUGUACCAAGAGGCAAACCCAGAUAUGUGAAAGGUAACUGCUCCGGUUUACAUCCCAGGAUGGAAGACAACCUCUGUGCCUCUGUGGGAUCAACAUUUAGUGGCACCAUUGAAGACUUUCCAAAAUUUACCUUUAGGCCAGUAGACUGUUGGAAAAUAUGGAGCAUGUUCUUGAGAGCCACCAACUGGUCCUGUACUGCAGAAAGGAUAAUUAUUGUGUCAUCUGCAUACUGAAUGAUAGGAAAUUCAGGGUCCUAAGAUGGGAUUGGAAGUGUUAGAACUCCCUUAGCCAGCAUGUUAUUGACCAUUGUUUGAAGAAGAUCGGCAGCUAUGACAAAUAAAAGAGGGGAUAGGGGAUCCCCCUGCCUGACCCCACAUUUAUAUUUGAACUGUUUGCCAGGCACCCCAUUAAGCAAAACAGAUGAUGAUCCUGAGGAGAGAAUCUCUUUAAUCCAAGAAAUCCAUUUGGCAUCAAAACCUUUGUGCUGUAGAACUUGCAAGAUGAAGUCAUGCUCCACAGUGUCAAAAGCUUUGGCAAAAUCCAAUUUCAAAAUGAUGGUUGGCCUUUUGGAUUGAUUGCAUUGAUGUAUAUAUUCAAAAGCCCAAGCCAGGCAGUCCUGAAUGGCUCUGCUCUUCAAAAACCCAUAUUGAUUCUUAUGGAUGCAUUGCAGAAUGACCUUUUGAAGCCUAUUUCCCAAAAGCUUAGUAAGGAACUUGAGGCAUGUGUUAGUAAGAGAGAUUGGUCUAAAAUCCUCAAGUCCUUCAGGAGACAACAUCUUUGGAAUUAAGGUGAUAAGGGAUCCAUUAAUAUUUUCCAAAGAUAGCCUCCCAUCAUAAAACCCCUGAAUGAGAGCCAAGAAAUCCUUCUCAAUGAUGGGCCAACACUUCUUAACAAAAAGACCAUUAAAACCGUGAAAGUGAUGAUGAAGAUUCUCCCCCUAAUAAAUAUGAAUUGCCUGUUGUGCCUGAGGGCUAUGUUAUGGAUGAAGAAAUUGCUAAAGCUAUUUUUGUUUGCAAAGAUAGAUAUGAUCUUAAGAAGUUAUUAGCUAAAUGGAAGCAGCAAUCUCUUAAUGCUAGAAUGAAACCUGACCCUGCUUUUGCUACUUCACCUAUCUGUGUUACUGAUAAGGAUUAUGAAUUCUCUGUUGAUCCUGAUAUAAUUACUUUGGUUGAAUCUGAUCCUUUUCAUGGCUAUGAGUCUAAAACUGUUGUGGCACAUCUUACUAAAUUAAAUGAUAUAGCCACCCUAUUCACUAAUGAUGAGAGAACUCGUUACUUUUAUAUCCUUAAAAUAUUCCUGUUCUCAUUAAAGGGUGAUGCUAAGAUAUGGUUUAAUUCUCUUGAUCCUGGUUGUGUGCGUAGUCCCCAGGAUAUGAUUUAUUACUUCUCUGCUAAAUAUUUCACUGCUCAUAAGAAACAAGCUGCUUUGAGGGAUAUAUAUAAUUUUGUGCAAAUUGAAGAAGAGAGUCUCCCACAAGCUUGGGGGAGGCUUCUCCAAUUACUUAAUGCUUUGCCUGAUCAUCCUCUUAAGAAAAAUGAAAUAUUGGAUAUAUUUUAUAAUGGACUAAGUGAUGCUUCCAGAGAUUACCUGGAUAGUUGUGUUGGUUCUGUUUUCAAGGAAAGAACACCGGAUGAAGCUGAAAUUCUAUUGAAUAAUAUGUUGACAAAAGAAAAUAAUUGGACACUUCCUGAGCCAGCUCCUGAGCCUAUUCCUAAACCAACUCCGAAGAAGAGGGGUAUUCUAUUUCUCAGUCCUGAAGAUAUGCAAGAGGCAAAGAAAUCCAUGAAAGAAAAGGGUAUUAAAGCUGAAGAUGUUAAGAAUUUACCUCCUAUUGAAGAAAUACACGGUCUUAAUUUACCGCCUGUUGAAGAAACAUAUGAUCUUAAUCCAUUACCUAUUGAAGAAAUACAUGGUCUUGAUAACCCGACACAAGUAGUAAAGGUAAACUCUCUCUAUAGAUAUGAUAAAAUUGAAAUCCCUCUUACUAAGUUUGCUAGCCAAUGCUUAGAUGAGUUUGAUAAUUUUAUGGUGAAGCAAGAAGAUUUUAAUUCUUAUUUUGGUAGACAAUUGAAAUACAAUUCAAAUAUGCUUGAACACUUGGGUGAUUAUAUGGCUAAUGUUAAAGGUGAAAUUAAACUUAUUAGCAAACAUGCUUCUAUGGUUACCACUCAAGUAGAACAAGUACUUAAAGCUCAAAAUGAUUUGCUCAAUGAACUGAAUAGUAAGAAUAAUGAUAAUGCUGUUAGAGUUAUGACUAGAGGUGGUAAAAUGACUCAAGAACCUUUGUAUCCUGAAGGCCAUCAUAAGAGAAUUGAGCAAGAUUCUCGGAGAAAUAAUAUAGAUGCACCUAGUUCUUCUAAAAGGAAGAAAAAGAAAAAUGAUAGGACUUUGCAUGCUUCUAGUGAACCUAUUGAUGAAACACCUGAGAAUCCAAAUGAUAUUUCUAUUUCUGAUGCUGAAACACAAUCUGGUAAUGAACCUGAAACUAGUGAUAAUAUUAAUGAUAAUGUUCAUGUUGAUGCUCAACCUAGCAAUGAUAAUGAUAUAGAAAUUGAACCUGUUGUUGAUCUUGAUAACCCACAAUCAAAGAAUCAACGUUAUGAUAAGAGAGACUUUGUUGCUAGGAAACAUGGUAAGGAAAGAGAGCCUUGGGUUCAGAAACCCAUGCCUUUUCCUCCCAAACCAUCCAAGAAAAAGGAUGAUGAGGAUUUUGAGCACUUUGCUGAAAUGAUUAGACCUACCUUUUUGCGUAUGCGAUUAACUGAUAUGCUUAAAAUGAAUCCUUAUGCUAAGUACAUGAAAGAAAUUGUUACUAAUAAAAGAAAGAUACCGGAAGCUGAAAUUUCCACCAUGCUUGCUAAUUAUACUUUUAAAGGUGGAAUACCUAAGAAACUAGGAGAUCCCGGAGUACCAACUAUACCAUGCUCCAUUAAAAGAAAUUAUGUUAAAAUUGCUUUAUGUGAUCUUGGAGUCGGUGUUAGUGUUAUGCCUCUCUCUUUAUAUCAUAGACUUGAUUUGAAUAAGUUGACACCUACUAAAAUAUCUUUGCAAAUGGCUGAUAAAUCAACUGCUAUACCUAUCGGUAUUUGUGAGGAUGUGCCUGCUGUGGUUGCAAACGUUACUAUUUUAAUGGACUUUGUUAUUCUUGAUAUUCCCGAGGACGAUAGUAUGUCUAUUAUUCUUGGAAGACCCUUUUUGAAUACUGCAGGGGCUGUUAUUGAUUGCAACAAAGGCAAUGUCACUUUUCAUGUUAAUGGUAAUGAGCAUACGGUACACUUUCCGAGGAAACAACCUCAAGUCCACAGUAUCAAUUCUAUUGGAAAAAUUCAAUCGAUUAUUUUUGAAGGUUUUGAAUUUCCUCUUCCUACUGUCAAAAGAAAUAUGAUAUUCUUAUUAUUGGGGAUGUGCAUAUCCCCGUUGAGGUAACAUAGUGUUAUUCGAAAUUCCUCCGGUUCCAUGUUAUUCGGAAUGAGUUUGCUAACAAGACUUGAUCAACCAUGUUAACGGAUUCCUUUUGAUGAGCAUGAGAUGGAUGAAACUAGAAGGCACAACUCUCCGUACCCUCCUUUUACUUUCUGUUAUUUAUAUUAAAUAAAAUUAAAAGAAGUAUUUUCCGUCUGUUAUCUGAUUUAUCCGUGCAAUAUAAAAUACCCCGAAAAUAAAAGUUCUCCAAAUGCCUUGAAAUUUAAAUAUGAUUUUUUCUGGAAUAUUUGAGAAUAUUUGGCACUAAGAACACAACACAGGGGGCAUCCACCUGGCCACGAGAGUGGAGGGCGCGCCCUACCCCCCCUGUGCGUGCCCCUUGCCUCGUGGGCCCACGGUGGCCCUCCUCCACUUAUUCCUGCACCCACACACUCCUUCCUCCCAUAAACACGAUUAUCCAGUUCGAACCCAAGUCCAAGCUCAUUUUGCUGCUAUUUUCGAUCUCCUUGCUCAAAGCACCUCUCACAAAACUGCUUGGGGGGAUUGUUCCUUGGUAUGCGACUCCUCCAUUGGUCCAAUUAGUUUUUGUUCUAGUGCUUUAUUCAUUGCAAAUUUAUGUUGUCUAGGUGCCCAUGUUCCUGAGCUUGCAUGUCAAAUUUAUGUGGUUCCAACUAGUUUUGAUGCAUGAUAUAGGCUCUAGGCACUUGUAGGAGUUGUUGCUAUCAAUUUUGUUGAGCUUGGCUCACUUUUAUUUGAAGUUACUAAAAAUUUCAGAAUUUUUCAGAAAAUAAUGAAGAGAUUUUUGAGGGGCUCAUCAAGCCGAAGCUCGAAGGAAAAGCAAAAUGAAAAAGCAGAGAGGCCCGAAUAUAAUCUGCCUCGCACCGCAGAGGUUCGGCCGUGUGAAUGGCCUUCCAAUGAUUUCUUGAGAGCAGUCGGGAUUUAUGAUGAUUUUUAUGAAUUGGCUGAGAAUGUAGGCCUCACCGCCUUCCUCCAUGACCAACGCGAACAAUAUCUCUUACUCACCAAUAUCUUUGUGCAAAACUUUCAUUUCCAUGCUAGGAGCUCACCACCUACGGUGGAGUUUUAUUUGUAUGAUGAGCACAAGGAGAUGUCACUUUACGAUUUCUGUCGGGUUUGAUUGAUCCCUUUCGAGGGCACAAUAGAGGAACCACACCGCGGUGAUGUGGAUGGGUUUAUAGAUACCAUCACUGUAGGGGAAACGAGGAAGGUUUCCGAUGCACGAAUCACUAGCAUACAUUUUCCUGUUUUACGCUACUUUGCAAUAUUUGCUAGUCGUUGCUUAAUUGGUCGCGAAAACUGUGGAAACCUUAGUGUUCCUGAUAUUAUUAUUUUGUUCCACGGUUUAUUCUGUGAUAAAUCUGUUAGUAUGGGCGGUAUUAUUGCUAAACGGUUAAGUCUCAACUGUACAAAGGGCCCCAUCUUUGGAGGCAUCUAUGCUUCACGCCUAACUGCGCAUUUUAACAUACCUAUUAAGCAUUAUGAGAAGGAAGAAAAAUUGCUGCCCCUGUUUAUUUAGAUUAUAAGAGUAUGGUGGCACACGAUUUUAUUGUUAAGAAUAGGAAAGGGGAGCUUAAAUACAAAUUGUUCUUUGAUAAACAUCAUCCUGAGACUAUUACCCUGCCUACUCCUUCCUUGUUUGAUUUAUCUCCAGGCAAGUACCUUGUUCCGUUAGAGGCUAUUCACGCCUACCGGAACAUUGCAUCAGCCACAGAGCCAGAGUCGGAACCACUAGUUGAUCCUCCACGACAGUCUAAUUACCAUUGGGAUCCAGAAAUGAUAGCCACCAGUGGAAAUCAGAGUCUUCUUCGCAGUACGACCCCAACUAUUACUAUGGAUAUCCGCCAGGCCAGCCGUGGCCAUAGACCAACUUAGGUCAAAAGCCUAAACUUGGGGGAGUACGUAUUUCCCGCCGACAUUACAUUCAUGUUCGCACACUCAUUGCUAGAUGUCGGUGCUCAUACUUUUUCAUUGUAUCAUCCAUGCUAGUUCAUUUCCUUUUUAAGCUUUCUUCUUGUGUGUUUAAUAAACCUUAAGAAAAACCAAAAAAACUAGUUGUAGCUUUUAGCUAGUUUUAAUUUCCAUGCUUGUAGUAGUAAUUAAAAAGAAAACCCAAAAAAAGAUUUCUUGUUCUUGUUUUGCUCGUUGGGAGCUUUCCCGUGUAAAUAGUUUUAUUUCUUUUCUUUGGGGGUCGAUAGGAGAAUACCAUGAUUAAAUUGUUGAAGUGGCUCUUAUAUAUAUUUUUUAUCUGACAAAAGAGCCCAUAUUGCCUUGUCUUCUCCAGUUUAUUGAAUGCUUGCAGAUUCCAGCUUAGUCCAAUGCACGCGCACUAUUAUUAUUAUCCACAUCGUUCGGUCGUGCAAGUGAAAGGCAAUUAUGACAAUAUAUGAUGGACUGACUGAGAUGAGAAAAGCUGGUAUAAACUCAACCUCUCUUGUUUUUGUAAAUAUGAUUAGUUCAUCGUUCCUGAUUCAGCCUAUUAUGAAUAAACAUGUUUGCAAUGACAACUAGAGAUCAUAGUUUCUUGUGCCAUGCUUGAUUAGCUAGGAGCUUAUAAUGGUUUACCUUGCGUGCCAACAUGCUAUUAAAAUGGUUGUGAUGUGGUAUGAUAGGGUGGUAUCCUCCUCUGAAUGAUUUGAGUGGCUUGACUUGGCACAUGCUCACGCAUGUAGUUGAAAUAAAAUCAACAUAUCCUCUACGAUAUUUAUGUUCAUGGGGAAUUAUAUCCUACUCAUGCUUGCAUUUGGUGUUGAUUAAUUUUAAUGCAUGUUUAUGAGUGUUGUCGCUCUCUAGCUGGUUGCUUCCCAGUCUUUUGCUAGCCUUCACCUGUACUAAGCGGGAAUACUGCUUGUGCAUCCAAUCCCAUAAACCCCAAAGUUAUUCCAUAUGAGUCCACCAUACCUACCUAUUUACGGUAUCUACCUGCCGUUCCAAGUAAAUUUGUAUGUGCCAAACUCUAAACCUUCAAAUAAAUAUCAUGUUUUGUAUGCUCGAAUAGCUCAUGUAUCAACUAGGGCUGUCUGUAUCUUCCAUGUUAGGCGGGUUAUUCUCAAGAGGAGUGGACUCCGCUCCUCACUCACGAGAAAAUGGCUGGUCACCGGGAUGCCCAGUCCCAUGCUUUAUGCAAAUCAAAUCAAAAUAAUUGCAAACAAAACUCUCCCUAGGACUCUUGUUAGUUGGAGGCACUCGUUGUUUUGAGCAAGCCAUGGAUUGAUGCUUGUUAGUGGAAGGGGAGUAUAAACUUUACCAUUCUGUUUGGGAACCGCCUAUAAUGUGUGUAGCAUAGAAUAUAUCGCCCUCUCUUGGUUGUUAUGUUGACAAUGAAAGUAUACUGCUCAAAAUAUUAUUCACCUCUAUUUCAAAACCGAGCUCUGGCACCUCUACAAAUCCCUGCUUCCCUCUGCGAAGGGCCUAUCUAUUUACUUUUAUGUUGACUCAUCAUCCUCUUAUUAAAAAUCACAAGUUGGAGAGCACCGCUGUCAUUUGCAUUCAUUACUGUUAGUUUACAUUGAGUAUGACUGGACUGGAUCUCUUUUACCAUGAAUUACAAUGUCUAGUCAGUCCUUGAUCUUUAAAGGUGCUCUGCAUUUAUGUUUUGCGGUCUCAGAAAGGGCUAGCGAGAUACCAUCUUGUUAUAUCAUAUCAUGAUUGUUUUGAGAAAGUGUUGUCAUCUGAGAUUUAUUAUAUUGCUCGCUAGUUGAUUAUGCCAUUGAUAUGAGUAAACAUGAGACCUAAAUGUUAUUGUGAAUAUGGUUAGUUCAUAAUCUUUGCUGAAAACUUGAAUGCUGGCUCUACAUAUUUACAACAACAAGAGCAAACAGAGUUUGUAAAAGUUUUUCUUUAUCACUUUCAGCUUAUCAACUGAACUGCUUGAGGACAAGCAAAGGUUUAAGCUUUGGGCAGUUGAUACGUCUUCGUCGUAUCUACUUUUCCAAACACUUUUGCCCUUGUUUUGGACUCUAACUUGCAUGAUUUGAAUGGAACUAGCCCGGACUUACGCUGUUUUCAGCAGAAUUGCCAUGGUGUUAUUUUUGUGCAGAUAUAAAAGUUCUCGGAAUGACCCGAAAAUCAACGGAGAAUUAUUUUGGAAUACAUAAAUAAUACUGGAAGGAAGAUCCACGUCAGGGGGGCCUCCACCUGUCCACGAGGGUGGGGGCGCGCCCUACCCCCCUGGUGCUACCUCUUGAGCACUGCGUUGGUUUUCCCUUGAAGAGGAAAGGGUGAUGCAGUAAAGUAGCGUAAGUAUUCCCCUCAGUUUUUGAGAACCAAGGUAUCAAUCCAGUAGGAGAUCACGCUCGAGUCCCACGCACCUACACAACCAAAUAAGAACCUCGCAACCAACGCGAUAAAGGGGUUGUCAAUCCCUUCACGGUCACUUACGAGAGUGAGAUCUGAUAGAUAUGGUAAGAUAAUAUUUUGGUAUUUUUAUGAUAAAGAGAAAUAAAGAUGCAAAGAAAAAUAAACGGCAAUAGAAAUAACUAAGUAUCACCUGGGCGCACCCCCUGCCUCGUGGGCCCCCUGACGCUCCACCAACCUCAACCCUGACUUCAUAUAUUCACUUUCGGGGAGAAAAAACCAGAGAGAAAGAUUCAUCACAUUUUACGAUACGGAGCCGCCGCCAAGCCCUAAACUCUCUCGGGAGGGCUGAUCUGGAGUCCGUUCGGGGCUCCGAAGAGGGGAAUCCAUCGCCAUCAUCAUCAUCAACCUUCCUCCAUCACCAAUUUCAUGAUGCUCACCGUCGUGCGUGCAUAAUUCCAUCGUAGGCUUGCUGGACGGUGAUGGGUUGGAUGAGAUUUAUCAUGUAAUCGAGUUAGUUUUGUUAGGGUUUGAUCCCUAGUAUCCACUAUGUUCUGAGAUUGAUGUUGCUAUGACUUUGCUAUGCUUAAUGCUUGUCACUAGGGCCCGAGUGCCAUGAUUUCAGAUCUGAACCUAUUAUGUUAUCAUCAAUAUAUGAGCGUUCUUGAUCCUAUCUUGCAAGUCUAUAGUCACCUACUAUGUGUUAUGAUCCGGCAACCCCGAAGUGACAAUAAUCGGGACCACUCCUGGUGAUGACCGUAGUUUGAGGAGUUCAUGUAUUCACUAUGUGUUAAUGCUUUGGUCCGGUACUCUAUUAAAAGGAGGCCUUAAUAUCCCUUAGUUUCUGCUAGGACCCCGCUUCCACGGGAGGGUAGGACAAAAGAUGUCAUGCAAGUUCUUUUCCAUAAGCACGUAUGACUAUAUUCGGAAUACAUGCCUACAUUACAUUAAUGAAUUGGAGCUAGUUCUAUGUCACCCUAGGUUAUGAUUGUUACAUGAUGAACCGCAUCCGACAUAAUUCUCUAUCACUGAUCCAUUGCCUACGAGCUUUCCAUAUAUUGUUCUUCGCUUAUUUACUUUUCCAUUGCUAUUGCUAUCAUCACUACAAAAUACCAAAAACAUUACUUUUGCUAUCGUUACCUUUUGCUGCCGUUACCACUACUAUCAUAUUACUUUGCUACUAAACACUUUGCUGCAGAUAUUAAGUUUCCAGGUGUGGUUGAAUUGACAAGUCAGCUGCUAAUAGUUGAGAAUAUUCUUUGGCUCCCCUUGUGUUGAAUCAAUAAAUUUGGGUUGAAUACUCUACCCUUGAAAACUGUUGCGAUCCCCUAUACUUGUGGGUUAUCAUUGCUCCUGCAGCGGGUCUUGCACAUAGCGGUGCUUCCAGGACGUAAUUCUUCUGUGUAGCAAUGAGGAUAAUCCUCAAGUUACGGACCUAGUCCAUGUAGUUGCUACCAUCAUCUUUCAACUUAGGUUUCUCUACGAACGCAUUAAAAUUCAAAGGGACAUUAGCACGGGCCAUUGAUCUACAACAACAUAGACAUGCAAACUACUAUCAGGUGCUAAGUUCAUGAUAAAUUAAAGUUCAAUUAAUCAUAUUACUUAAGAACUCCCACUUAGAUAGACAUCCCUCUAGUCAUCUAAAUGAUCACGUGAUCCAUAUCAACUAAACCAUGUCCGAUCAUCUCGUGAGAUGGAGUAGUUUCAAUGGUGAACAUCACUAUGUUGAUCAUAUCUACUAUAUGAUUCACGCUCGACCUUUCGGUCUCAGUGUUCCGAGGCCAUAUCUGCAUAUGCUAGGCUCGUCAAGUUUAACCCGAGUAUUCUGCGUGUGCAAAACUGGCUUGCACCCGUUGUAUGUGAACGUAGAGCUUAUCACACCCGGUUAUCACGUGGUGUCUCGGCACGACGAACUAUAGCAAUGGUGCAUACUCAGAGAGAACACUUGUACCUUGAAAUUUAGUGAGAGAUCAUCUUAUAAUGCUACCGCCGUACUAAGCAAAAUAAGAUGCAUAAAGGAUAAACAUCACAUGCAAUCAAAAUAAGUGAUAUGAUAUGGCCAUCAUCAUCUUGUGCCUUUGAUCUCCAUCUCCAAAGAACCGUUAUGAUCACCAUCAUCACCGGCUUGACACCUUGAUCUCCAUCGUAGCAUCGUUGUCAUCUCGCCAACUAUUGCUUCUACGACUAUCGCUACCACUUAGUGAUAACGUAAAGCAAUUACAUGGCGAUUGCAUUUCAUACAAUAAAGCGACAACCAUAAGGCUCCUGCCAGUUGCCGAUAACUUUUACAAAACAUGAUCAUCUCAUACAACAACUUAUAUAUCAUCACGCAAAAACAAGUUAGACGUCCUCUACUUUGUUGUUGCAAGUUUUACGUGGCUGCUACAGGCUUCUAGCAAGAACCGUUCUUAUCUACGCAUCAAAACCACAAUGAUUUUUCAUCAAGUGUGUUGUUUUAACCUUCAACAAGGACCGGGCGUAGUCAAACUCGAUUCAACUAAAGUUGGAGAAACAGACACCCAGUAGCCACCUGUGUGUGAAGCACCUCGAUGGAACCAGUCUCAUGAACGCGGUCAUGUAAUGUCGGCCUGAGCUGCUUCAUCCAACAAUACCGCCAAAUCAAAGUAAGACGUUGCUGGUAAGAAGUAUGACUAUUAUCGUCCACAACUCAUUGUGUUCUACUCGUGCAUAUAACAUCUACGCAUAGACCUGGCUCGGAUGUCAUUGUUGGGGAACGUAGUAUUUCAAAAAAAAUCAUACGAUCACGCAAGAUAUAUCUAGGAGAAGCAUAGCAAUGAGCGGGGAGAGUGUGUUCACGUACCCUCGUAGACCGAAAGCGGAAGCGUUUAGUAACACGGUUGAUGUAGUCGAACGUCUUUGCGAUCCAAUCGAUCCAAACACCAAACGUACGACACCUCCGCGUUCAGCACACGUUCAGCUUGAUGACAUCCCUCGAGCUCUUGAUCCAGUUGAGGCCGAGGGAUAGUUCCGUCAGCACGAUGGCGUGGCGACGGUGAUGAUGAAGUUACCGGCGCAGGGCUUCGCCUAAGAACUACGACGAUAUGACCGAGGUGUGUAACUGUGGAGGGGGGCAACGCCCACGGCUAAGAGAAACUUGUGUCUUUGGGGUGCCCCCCUCCCACGUAUAUAAAUGGGGGGAGGAGGCCGGCCCAAAGGGGGGCGCGCCACAUGUUGGGGGUCCUACUAGGACUCCCUAGUCCUAGUAGGAUUCCCCUCUCCUUUCCUUUUACGGAAGGGGGAAAGGGGGGAAGGAGAGGAGGGGAAGAGGGAAAGGGGGCACGCCCCCUCCCCUUCCUAUUCGGACUCCACUUGGGGGGACGCGCACGCCUCCCCCUUGUGGGUUGUACCCUCUUCUCUCCCAUGGCCCAUAAGGCCCAUGAUUUCCCCCGGGGGGUUCCGGUAACCUCCCGGUACUCCAGAAAAAUGCUCGAAUCACUCGGAAUCAUUCUGAUGUUUGAAUGCAACCUUCCAAUAUAUGAAUCUUUACCUCUCGACCAUUUCUGUGAUCUCAUCCGGGACUCCGGACAAACUUCAGUCAUCAAAUCACAUAACUCAUAAUACAAAUUGGCACGAACGUUAAGCAUGCGGACCCUAUGGGUUUGAGAACUAUGUAGACAUGACUGAGACACAUCUCCGGUCAUUAACCAAUAGCGGAACCUGGAUGCUCAUAUUGGCUCCUACAUAUUCUACGAAGAUCUUUAUCGGUCAAACCGCAUAACAACAUACGUAGUUCCCUUUGUCAUAUGUAUGUUAUUUGCCCGAGAUCCGAUCGUCGGUAUCCCCAUACCUAGUUCAAUCUCGUUACCGUCAAGUAUCUUUACUUGUUCCGUAAUGCAUCAUCAUGUAACUAACUCAUUAGUCACAUUGCUUGCAAGGCUUAUAGUGAUGUGCAUUACCGAGAGGGCUUAGAGAUACCUCUCUGAUACACGAAGUGGCAAAUCCUAAUCUCGAUCUAUGCCAACUCAACAAACACCAUCAGAGACACCUGUAGAGCAUCUUUAUAAUCACCCAGUUACAUUGUGACGUUUGAUAGCACACUAAGUGUUCCUCCGGUAUUCGGGAGUUGCAUAAUCUCAUAGUCAUAGGAACAUGUAUAAGUCAUAAAGAAAGCAAUAGCAAUAAAAUUAAACGAUCAUUAUGCUAAGAUAACGGAUGGGUCUUGUCCAUCACAUCAUUCUCUAAUGAUGUGAUCCCGUUCAUCAAAUGACAACACAUGUCUAUGGUUAGGAAACUUAACCAUCUUUGAUUAACGAGCUAGUCUAGUAGAGGCAUACUAGGGACACUCUGUUUGUCUAUGUAUUCACACAUGUACUAAGUUUCUGGUUAAUACAAUUCUAGCAUGAAUAACAAAGAUUUAUCAUGAUAUAAGGAAAUAUAAAUAACAACUUUAUUAUUGCCUCUAGGGCAUAUUUCCUUCAGGAAGAGCAUCGCGGGUGGGAGGGAGAAGGGGAAUUAAGAGAGUGUGGGUUUGGGUUUGGGCCUCCGCGUGCUAUGUGUACACAUGUGUUGGUGGGUCGAUAGUAGUGGUCCUGGGUUUAUACCCCACGCUACUACUAUGGCCUAUCCCGGGGGUACGGUAGAGACCGCUUAGUAGUAGCGAGGGAUUUAUACCCCUCACUACUACUAUCAACUUAGUAGUAGUGAGGGAUUUAUACCCCUCGCUACUACUAUCAACUUAGUAGUAGUGAGGGAUUUAUACCCCUCGAUACUACUAUGGCCAGUCCCGGGGGGCACGGUGGAGACCACUUAGUAGUAGUGUGGGGUUUAUACCCCUCGCUACUACUAUCAACUUAGUAGUAGUGUGGGUUCUAUACCCCUCGCUACCAAUAAUUAGCAGCAGUGUGGCCCAUAUACCCCUCGCUACGGUUAAGCAUCUAUCUAUAAAGUAUUUUCUAGUAGUGCAUCGAUGGCGGCGAAAUCAGUCGUUCUGCUUGUUUUCCCUACUAGCUCUCUGACGUCCAGAACAAGUUUACGGUCAUAAGGUGCAAUAACCUUGCCUUCAUGAGUGACACGAUGACACGGGAACAGGCUUCCAAGCCUAUGGUGUCGCAUCAUGUCGUGGUCUGCUAGACUUAGUGGACGAAUGCUACUACAAUAUCGGUUGAUCUCAUACUACAAUACCAAGGAAGACACGCAACUACUAUAUAUAUUUCUUCAAGUCAGUCAACACAAGUAAAAUCUGGGAGUUCAACUGGUGCAGCUAUGCAAUGCUAAUGGAGACAACACAAUUCAACUUUAGCACUUCACACAUAAGCAACACCACGUUCAAUGGCACACACCUUAGAGUGUACCUAUGGUGGUUGAUUGGGCUAUAAGAAAUGUGAGUCCAUGUGAAGAUGCCAAAUAUAAUAACACGGCUAAUUACACAUGCAGUGGCAGCAGCAACAAGUGCAUGAAUUCCACAAAUGAUCUAGGGUACACAUGCAACUGUGUCCUUGAGUAUGACAACAACCCUUAUCUUCUAGACAAAUGCAUGGUAUGCUACUAAUUUAUUUGCUAAAUAUUCCAAUGAAUUGUGUCCUUUACUUUGUACAUACCCAAUUAUAAUAUUUUAUUUUGCUAAUACAAUGUAGCCUUCAAUUUAAACCAAGGUUUGCAUCCAUUAAUUAUGUUAGGUUCAUAUGACUUCACUACAUAAAUAGGUAGAUAAUGCAUAAGACUGAGAUUGUAGCUAGGGAUGAAAAUCUAAAUACGGCAUGAAUCUAACAAUUAUGAGUAAUGUCUUUGUGACAAGAACUUUCUUUGUCUUUUAUUCCCAUGUUUGAACUAGUAUAGGUCAGGGUUACACAUUAUGGUGCACAUCACUUUAUUUGUCAUCGUUACAUUGAACACUCAUUGACUAAACAACGAUGAUCCAUCCGUCUUGUAUUACAGGUCUUCAUUUCAUUGGCCACCGAUGCUUGUAAGACUACUCCCAGAUGGUUGUUGUUGUGGAUAUGGUUGUUGAGGUUGGUGUGGUUGCUGGGGGAAUGGUUGUUGGGGUUGCUGGGAAAUUGUUUGUUCUAGUUGCUGGGAUAAUUGUUGUUGGGGCUGCAGAAAUGGUUGUUGUGGUUGUUGUGGUUGCAGGAUGGAGGGUUGCUGGGAAAAUGGUUGUUGCGGUCGUAGGGGGAAUGGUUGUUGUGGUUGUAGAGGGAAAGGUUGUUGUGGUUGUUGAGGGAAUGGUUGUUGUGGUUGUUGGGGGAAUGAUUGUUGUGGUUGCAGGGGGAAUGGUUGUUGUGGUUGCUGGGGGAANNNNNNNNNNNNNNNNNNNNNNNNNNNNNNNNNNNNNNNNNNNNNNNNNNNNNNNNNNNNNNNNNNNNNNNNNNNNNNNNNNNNNNNNNNNNNNNNNNNNNNNNNNNNNNNNNNNNNNNNNNNNNNNNNNNNNNNNNNNNNNNNNNNNNNNNNNNNNNNNNNNNNNNNNNNNNNNNNNNNNNNNNNNNNNNNNNNNNNNNNNNNNNNNNNNNNNNNNNNNNNNNNNNNNNNNNNNNNNNNNNNNNNNNNNNNNNNNNNNNNNNNNNNNNNNNNNNNNNNNNNNNNNNNNNNNNNNNNNNNNNNNNNNNNNNNNNNNNNNNNNNNNNNNNNNNNNNNNNNNNNNNNNNNNNNNNNNNNNNNNNNNNNNNNNNNNNNNNNNNNNNNNNNNNNNNNNNNNNNNNNNNNNNNNNNNNNNNNNNUGGUUGCAGAGGGAACGAUUGUUGGGUCUGGGGAAAUGGUUGUUGUGGUUGCCAGGAAAAUGGUUGUUGGGGCUGUGGAAAAGGUUGUUGUGGUUGUUGGGGUUGCUGGGGGAAUGGUUGUUGUGGUUGUAAGGGGGUCGGUUGUUGGGGUUGGGGAAAUAAUUGUUGUGAUUGCUGGGGAAAUUGUUGUUGGGGUGUGGAAAAUGGUUGUUGUGAUGGAUAUGGUUGCUGUGAUGGAUAUGGUUGUUGUGGAUAUGGCUGUUGUGGAAAUAGUUUUUGUUGAUGGGAAAAUGAUUGUUGAGGUGAUUGUAACUCUUUGUUGUUAGGGUUUAGUUGCCUAGCGGCAAUGGCGGUGUUCAUCGCCAUGGCAAGGAGGACAAAGAUGAGGAAGGUCUUCAUGUUGGAUUUGUGGUUACUACUGCUUGCUUGCCUUUGAUGCUUGUGGUCUAGGUGUGUGAAGUUUUGUUGAUGGAAGGUGUCCUUGGUGGUGCAUGUGUAUUUAUAGUUUUCAUGGCAUGGCUUGCUUUCAUCUUUGCACUCGCUCUUUGAAAAAGUGCAUCAAUGCUUAUCCAACUAAUCAUUUGGUUUGUUGUGUUUGGUGCAACUACUUACUAGUGAGAUUUUGGAUUUUCAUGAUAGUUGUUUUUUGUUGAAAUCAUCUGGUUGUAAGGAAUGUUGGAUAAUGACCAAUGACUCAUCUUCUUCACUUUACACUGCAAACAUUGAUCUAGAUUAUGUCCCUUUUUGAAAUUUAGUUUGUGGAGCUCUACAUGUUGUUAGGCUUAUCCAUAUUGGCAUAGCUUGAGUGGAGCUAAGUUUGUAAGCUUGUGUGCGCCAUUAUGAUGGAUCACACUAUUAAUGUGAUGAUUGUUUUACAAAUUAUCUUUCCAAAACUAACUUUAUGUUUUUUGCCCAAUAUGAUUCUAAGACGGAUAACCAGACAUGACUCAUCAAAUAACAAGAUAAACCGAGUAGCAAGUUGGGGGUUAUAAGUUAUAAUAUGGACUUUUCUCUAAGAUACACCAUCUUGUCUUGCAUGCUCUGUGGAUUUGAAAAGCAUCUACUAAUUUAGAUGCAAUUGAAACAAAAGUAGACUAAAAAGGUAAGCAAUGAAAUGAGAAUACUAUUAUGUGAAGCUCUACAUGUCUGGUAAGCAGUGAGAUACUGGAUACAUCUAUAUCUUCAAUCCUUUCAUCCCUAUCAACUCUUUAUUGGCUGCUUUUAUCGUAGUCAUCCCUUAAAUAAAAAUCACUUAAAUAUAAGUUUGGGAGUUAGUACCAACAUAUAUCAUGUACAAGAUAGAAAACUAAGGCACAUAUAGUAGUCUAUUGACCAUAUUUAAUUUCUUGUGAUGUGAAAGCAUGUGGAGUAUAAGUUGGUUAAAUAUAAAGUUGUCCUUCAUACCAGUAGGGAAAGAAUAUGCAGUAUAAAGAUUAGAGCAUUGGACUAAUAUGCUAUUAAAUGCUACAGGAUAAUUGACAGUUCAAGUUAAGAACAACAUUAGCAUUCCAACUUUUGUCUUGUGCAAGUUAAGAACAUGCUAACAAAGUAACCUAAGCAAAUAAGUGCAAAACCUUCACCUAUAAGGAAAUUGUGAAACUACACAAAAUGACCUAUUGUAAAGAAGGAAAAAAAUCUAAAGGUGAAUGAAAGAACGUUAAGUACAUUCAGGAUUCGAUUAUGCCUUCAUGGAUAACCUUUUAGAUGGUGACAUGUCCAUGUUGAUGUGUGUCGGCAUGGAACGAGGACAAGAAGACGUCGUUGCGUCGUACUUUGGGAAUUUCAUCAAACUGGUUGUGUGCGGGAACAAAUAUUUGUCGCCUCCCUGCUCAAAUCUCUCUUCAUGUCACUGAAUCCGACACUCCACCUACCAAAAUCAGCUGCAAGCCAGGGAUAAUCAACGGGUUUCUCCGCCCGUAGCAUCUAUCACCAAAAGUAGUUCAGACUAUAGUCUUGUAGUUCAAAAUUUUGUAAUAACAAGCACUACUAGGUUGCUUUUGUUUGUACGUCUUCAUUCUGUACAACCCAUGGAACUAAAAAUGCAUUGGUCAUUCUUUGUUCUAUACAACCAAUUCAACCAAAAAUGCAUUGGGCUUUUCUUUGUACAUCUUCGGGUUCUACAACCAAUGCAACAAAAAAUCCAUUGGGUAGUCUUCCAUUCUAGUCGGGCACCAACAGUUAAAUGAGGAGCUAAACAAUGUUGGAGUCUAAAACUACAUACAAUCAUGAAGCAUAGAGAGGCGACUUGGAAGCUGUGCUCCUGUGAGCUCGUAUUUUUGUAGACAAAAAGUAAUGUUUGUAUUUUGAAGUGGGAAAAAAUCCUAAAAAGGGAUGUUUUGCGGGUUAUAACUUACUAUUUUUGGGUCCUGGGCUGCAGGAAGGUCGUCAAAAUCAAUGUGUUUUCCCAUUCAAUGCAUGUUUCUUGGGUUAUAGGUCACGCUUUUGGUGUCCUAGGGAGAUCACUUCCCCGGUCAAGAACAUUAGGUGAUGAUUUUUAGAAAAACUCAUUGUUUUAGCCUAACUAGUUUCGAGGAUUGGUGGACGGGAUUAUCAUGGAACAAAGUGACAACCUUCCUUUUCUUCAUGCCUAAUAUAAACUUAGCAGUCAGCUAAAAGUAACUAGCGAUAUCACAGAAUGUUUUUUGUCAAAAGUAGAUACCACUUCAGGAUUCAACUCGGUUAGUUCAAUCACAGACAUGUUAAGAGCAGGAUUUACAACUAACUGCAUAGGGAACAUCUCCUUUUAUCACCCACUAUCUGUCUGUGCACUUUGGUUUUCCCGUAGCAUCACACAAAGCACUUUGUUAGUACCAAUAAUGUGCUCCAACUCUACACAUUAAUCAUCUUGAAUUCUUCUACUGAUGUCGAACAAUGUAAUAUCUUGAAUUCUUCUAACGAGUUCGGAUUAGACUACAUGGGCAAUUUAUCUGGUCCCUGAGAUGCAAGGUCGAUGAACAAUCGCUUCGUCUUAUGACGAGGGGUUGUUUUUGCCUAAGAAACUAAUACAUGUAACUUCGACACCGGAUUAAUAAAUGGUAAAACCUAAAUAAAUUAGAUCACGAGCUAAACCAUUUACUUUUGUAUGCAUUUAAACUUUUGAUACAUAUGAGCUUGUUAAGAUGUUCGCAUAAACACCAUGGUGAUUUGAAGCAAGACAAAGUAAACUUGAACCGCUUGAGCCACUGACUUAAUAAGAACCUCCUUUCCCGCGGCAGAGAUUGUUUUUAAUACAUCCACUCACUUUGGCCCAUAGUUUGUCUUUGAGAUACUUAAAAGCACUAGACAUAGAAUUGACAAUAUUAGAAGGCAAGCCCAAAUAUUUCACAUUUAGUGUUUCUACUUGGACACUGAGACCACCUUUGACCUCAUUUUUGACAUUCUCUCUGCAAUCCUUGCUGAGAAACACUGAAGGCUUCCUAUUUAUUUAUUCUUGACCUAAAGCUUCAUUGCGUCUUGCCUUGGUCUUGCACUACUUGCGGCACAAUACGCCUUUGGAACUGCCGUUCCGAAUUCAGAGUGCCGAAGGUGGUGUGACGAUGUUGAGAUACCGUACUCGUUCGGUAGUGAUUCGGGUUGAUCAUUCAGAGUAGACUUUGACAAUAGCUGCAAGGACAAGAUUGCAUUAGGGAGCCUUUUAAUUACACCUCGGAGGUGCUCAGCAUCUUCUUGAUGAACAACAUGGUCCUAGUGUUGAAUAAUAUCAUAUGGGGUAGUGCUACAACAACUCCACCACAAGCAUGGAGGAAUUUAGCAAAUUCCAUCAGUACUAGGAGAAAGCCUAGUAGCAACGCGAGGUAAAGGACUACUAGUAGCGCGGGUGCCCACGCUACUACUAGGGUGCUACAGCUAAUUGGUAGUAGUAGCGUGGGUGACACCCUGCGCUACUACCACGUCUGUUAGUAUAGUAGCGCGAGUGUCACCCGCACUACUACUAGUUAUCUGUAGCCCGGGUCUGACCCCACGCUACUACUAACUAAUUAGGAAUUAAAAAAAUAAAUUCCAUCCAUGGUUGCUGCUGCUGGGCGUCAUCGUCCUCUCCGUCCAUGGCUGAUGUUGGUCCUGGAGGGGAUGACGUCGUCCAUGGUGAUGGUACUUCCUCACCCAAAUCGUCCCCACACCUCUCCUAUGCUACUGCUACAAAAUAAGAGAAAACGAUUAGAAGAGGAAGAGAGAUAUUGAGAGGAGUAGGAGGAGCAACUGACCGGUGGCCGCCGGAGUUGGAGCUGAUGCCCGAAACCCUAGACGAUGCCCGGUGACCUGUUGCUUCUUUUCCUGGGACCUCAUGUCCUCACAAGGCCAUGUCUCAGCGAGGAAGUGCAAGUGGUUGCGUAGCAGAUCUGUUCAUCGCCAUUGGUGGCGCUCUGUUGGAUCUUCCUCUCCUUCCAGCAUCGGAGAAGGAGGAGGAAGGAGGCGAAGGUGAGGCGUAAGUCAGUGGCCCAAAAUUUUUAUAUAGAUGAGACUUACUAAGUAAUAACCCCAUAGAAUCUAUCUAUAUAAAGAUAAAGAGGCAAUCGUGUCAGGAAGCGGGUUUUUCUUUGGCCAAAAGGUACUUAGAACUUGGAACGAGCAUGAAGAGAUUAACGAGACUUCUUUCUCUUUUGAGUUUUUCUGGCGGACCUGCCGCGCAAGAUCUUUGGUCUUCCCCUGGAACCGAUGAAAAAAAGUGGAUUGCUUCUUAUGUACUCGCUCAGCUUAAGAUGCUCGCAUAAUCCCCGUGGUAAUUUGAAGCAAUACAUAGAGUAAACUAGAACUGCUUGAGCCACUAACUUAAUGAGAACCUCCUUUCCCGUAGGAUAUAUCAUUUUUUCAAUCCAUCCAUUCACUUUGGCCCAUAGUAUGUCUUUGAGAUACUUAAAAGCAGUAGAUUAGAAUUACCAAUAUCAUAAGGCAAGCCCAAAUAUUUCUCAUUUAGUGUUUCUGUUGGACACUGAGAACACCUUUGACCUCAUAUCUAACAUUCUCUACACAACCCUUGCUGAGAAACACUGAAGACUUGCUAUUAUUUAUUCUUUGACCUGAAACUUGGCAAUAGGUUUGACACAUCUGUCGCCCCUGAACCAUUUGCCUUGAAAAACAGCAGGCUGUCAUCUGCAAAUAACAAGUGGUUAACUGAUGCCACCAAAGGAGCUACUUGGAUUCCAGUAAACUGGGAUGACUAGUCUCUAGAUUUGAGGAGGCCCGAAAGGCCAUGUACUGCUAACAGGAAAAUCAAGGUGAAUUGGAUCUUGCUGCCGUAUACCACGGGUAGGUUUGAGCUCAUCAAGUUUCUUGCUCUUGAAUAAAAUUGAAUAAGAUACAGAAGCUACCAUGCUCAUUUCUAUGGAGGCCCAUUUAACAGAGAAUCCAAAGUUGAGAUUUAUCACCUCCAAAUACGCCCAUUCAACUAGAUUAUAAGCCUUCAUCAUAUCCAAUUUUAGAGUACAAUGGUGAUGUUACAAUGACUUAUUCCUUUUCAUGAAAUGUAAGCACUCGUAGGCCACGAUUAUAUUGUCAGUGAUAAGGCGACCCGGAACAGAAGCCGACUCUUCACUCAAUAUUAUCUCCGGAAGGGCCCCUUUUAGCCGGUUAGCCAGAACUUUGGGUGUUAUUUGUAAAGUUGCAUAGGCUAAUACGACAGAACUGGCUUAGGAAAGUACCAUUUUGUACCUCAUCACUAUCCUCGCCACAAUACAAAGGACAACCAUUGUUACCUCCUCGCCGCAAAUAUCCCAAUGUUUCUCAAAGAAAUGUUCAAAGAAUCCGUCCGGGCCCAAGGCCUUCAUGCGGAACAUUUGAAACAAUACAAUUUAAACCUUGUUGUAGAAUACUUAGCGUCAAGGAAGGCAUUCAUCGCAUCACUGACCUUUACUGGAACCAAGUCAGGAAAUCAUGCAUAUUAGAAACAGUCUCAGAAGUGAAAAGCUCCGAGUAAAACUAUGUUGUGAUCUCUUCCAAUUCCUUAAGAACACUGAUAACAUCACAUUAGGUUGCUACAAUGAUUUGGUCAAAUUAUUCCGCCUUCUCAUCGAAGCCCUUAAGUGAAAGAAGCAUGUGGUCUUGUCCCCACUAAUCAGCCACUUAAUCUGAGAUCUAGUAGGCAAGAUGAGUGACGGGAAGUAGUUCGGAACAAUUUCCUCUUAUUCACUUCUAAAACAAAUUUUCGGUUUUUGUCGUUCCUAAGCCAAGGAUUUGAUAAAUAUUCAUAAAUUUUUAAAAUGUUCACCAAUAUUAAAAACAUCAUGAUUUUAAAAAACCGUGAUUUUUAAACAAAAUCAUAAAUAUGAAAAUUGCCAUUCACAAAAUUUUAAAAUAAAAUCAUGAAUUUUAAAAGAAUUUUCAAAAUUUUGAUAAAUAUCUACGAAUUUUACAACUUUGAUGAAUUUUAAAAACAAACCAUAACAAAAAAACACUAGCAAGUUCGAUCCUAAAAAAUGCCUUGCCUUCUACUAUGCGUAGCGUGCAUGGACAGCCGGACCUAGACACCCUAGACCAAAAACCCUACAUCUGGGCCAGGCCCGAGCUCCAUUUUUUGGCCCAAAGCCCAGCCCAAAAAGGCAGAAAUGGUAAGAAAUGUAUACUUUAUUCAAAAUAUAGGUAUAUUAUAUUGUUUUAGUAUCUCAAAUAAUUAUUUAAAUUGAAAAAUGUCGUUGUUCAUGUGUUUCUGGACGGGCCAAGCCAGGCUCAUGCUUGGGAUUUUUGCUUCGGGCUUUGACAACCUGGCCCGGGGUAUGAUCAAGUUCAGCAUGGCCCAGUCACACACCCUUGUACAACAUUUUGUUGUAGAGAGCGGCAAAUAUAAUUUUCCCGAUCUAAUAUUGCUCGCUAUAAGUCUAUAUCUAUACUUUUUUCUAUACCCAUACUAAUAAAGCAAGGUGCGUUUCCCCAAUUUUUUCAUUCAUUCACUGUCGAAAACAAUUAUGUUUCCUAUCCGAGGUGGUCCUAAAUUCUUAUGCGUUCAUCUGCUAAAAGAAAGGCUUUUCCGGAAUUUCUUACGUGGGUUGCGCGCUAUGGCCAGUGAAGUCAGCCCACUUAUUUUUCUGCCCAUGCAGCUCUAAAAAAUCUAUUUAACACACAGGGCAAGAAAUAGUCGGCACUUCAAACUGGAAAACAAAUAAUGGGCUAGCCAAUUUUUCUUUGUUUCUGUGUUUUAUUUCUAUUUUUAUUCUCCUUCCCCGAUUUCUUUUUUCACUUCCAAGUUUACAUUUCUUAUAGAAUUUAUUUUAUAAAUUCAAAAUUCUCAAAAAACAUAGAGAAUUUUAAAAAAAUGGAAAAUGUUCAUAACUCCAAUUUUUUUGCUAUUUAAAUUUUUUUCAGAACUUGAAUUUUUUCCCUUUUUCCGAAAAUUUUAUUGUUUUUUAAAAUUGUUAGAGAUUUCUAAAAAGAAAAUGGAAAUUUAAAAAGUCUUCCAAAUUCGAAAAAAAAUCAUGUUUUAGUGAAAUUUUCACAACUCAAAUUAUUCUUAAAAAAUACACAUUUUAAAAAGUAAGGAUUUUCAAUACAUGUUCCCGUUCUAAAAAAAUGUUGACAAAUUCAAAUAAUGUUCAUGUUUUUAUUUUAAAAGUUCGUGUUUUCAAAAAUGUUUGUAAAUUCUAAAAGAUGUUCCUAUUUCAUAUUUUGUUCAUGUUUUUCUGAAAGUGUACCUAAUUUUCAAAAAACUGUUCAGGAUUUAAAAAAUGGUUCAUGUUGCCUACAAUAUUGAGAAACUUCAUACCUUAAAAUCUCCUCGAUUGAAGGAACCAUAGAUUGAAUAAUUCAUGGGCCUUCUCUGGUGGACGAUGACGUAGCAAAACUCUUAAAUGCCCUCAAUCAAUGAAUGGAAAAAUAGCGAAUUGAGUACUUCACACCCAGCGAAACAAAGAAGCUAAAUGUUCCCUUUUUACGUGCGCACAGGGUUUUGCUUGCACAAAUAAUUCUCACUAACUUCCAAUGCAUACUAAUUUUUCUCCCAUUGCGAAGCACAAGCAUAUGUGCUAGUUUUAUCCACGGUGGUACUAAAUUUUUUUGAGUCCAUCUGCUAGAAAAAGGAAAAACAGUUUUGUCAAAAUUUUCGUACAUGGGCCGCGCGCGCUGUGGCCCAGCGAAGCUGGCCCAUUUAUUUCCGGCCGAAGCAGCUGAGAAUAAUUAUUUAACGCUUGGGGCGGCAAAUAGACAAAGUUUCGCAUAGGGCGCCAAAUAUUUGGUCGGCCCAUAUUUGUUUUCUCUCUAGUUUGUUUCUUUUUUUAUUUUCCUUUCUCCUUUUCUUAUCUCUUUACUUUUUCUUUUUUCCCUUUCAAGUUAAUUUUUCUUUUCUCCUUUUCCAUAAAUUAAAUUUUUCAAUAUUUCAGAAUUUUAGUUUUGGAUUAAAUUUUCGUAAAAUCUUCAUAAUUAUUUCUCCCCAUUUUGAAUUGUUUUUAAACUAUAAUUUUUUCUUCUUCUUCUUCCAAAAUUUAUUCAAAACUAUAGAAUAAAGUUCGCAUAUUAAUUUUUUUAUGCUUUCCAAAAUUGUUUGAUAUUUUCAAAAUAUAUUGCAUUAAAAAAUUAAAUAUUUAGAUUUUAUUGAAAUGUUAAUUCAAAGUAAUGUUUGUGUUUAAAAACAUGUUUUUCAAAAUUCUUUUCAAUGUCCAAAACACGUUUUCAUUUCCAAAAAAAAUCACGUAUUCAAAACAUGUUUGCUUUCUUAUAAUAGGUUCAUGUUUUCAAAAAACAUAAAUUUCAAAAAAAUUGUCACAUCUUAAAGAAUAUUCAAAAUAUCGUAAUUAUUACUUUAUUUUUUGAAAAAAAUCAAGAAAAACAGAAAAAAAAAUGUAUAUUAUGCUACAGUAUAUUCUUAAAAUUUCGCCCUCGCCAUUUGUUAGCAUGAGCUGUUUGUUCGAGUGGCUAGCAGCACGUGGUCGAGUUUUUGAGGUCAUGAGUUUGAUCCUUCAACUCAGUGGUUGUUUUGGAUUUUUAUUCACGCCUUACAAAUACAAGUCAUUUUGGUACCUGCCAGCGGCCUUGCCAGACUCGAACUGCCGUGCAUCCGACGUGCUAUUUGACGAUAAAAGAGAAUAUGUUGCUUGACUAUAAUUAAAAAAAUGUGGGCACAUGCCAAUAAAAGAGGAUAUGCUGGUUUGACUCUGAUUAAAAAAAUGUUGGCAAGUGAGCGUCGAAAUAAUUAAAGAGAAUAAACCCUGGUAAAGUAGGGACUACCUGGUUACGUGCUUAUUAUACCAAAGAAACGGGAUUUCCUGCAAUUAGUACUUCAACCGGUUACACCAUCAUAGGAGAGAGUAGUCGAAGCAACUAUGCCACGAAGGUCGCCGUGCUGCACAAAAUGAGGAGGCAACCGCAACCUAGACACGGAGGCAGACUCGGAGAAAAAAAAGCGCAAGUUGGGUGGUGGCCACCACUCCAGCAACCCCAUCAAUAUCAAGAACUCGUGGGCCAAACAUGAUCUCAAGAACAUCGCCGGGGAGACCUUUUGAUGGACACAUCAAUUAUCUCUCCUGAUACUUCUCGUUAAAAAUAUCUUUCUAGUUCUAACGCACGGGCAUAUGUGCUAGUGAUAUAUAAAAUAUGUUGUGCCAAUGAGCACACGGGCUAGCGAGACUCGCCAUGCUUUCAUGUCAUACCGGAGUCCAAACACUCAACUGGAGGGUCCAACCUUAGCGACAGAGUCUUCUUUUGUUGGGAGAAUCUAUAUAUCCGCGAGUGUUAUAUCUCGCAUCUGGUUUACGCGCAGUGCACCUAACCACUAGGCUUUGCCUUACAUUCAUGACAGAGUAGUAAAGCUAGAUUGUUUAAGUCCACACGAGUCAAGGUUUUCAAUGUUUCUUCUCCAUUUUUUUUCAUUUUUUCAUUUUUGUUUUUAUAUUUAUUUCUGUCGGGUUUGUUUGAUCCCUUUCGAGGGCAUAAUAGAGGAACCACACCGUGGUGAUGUGGAUGGGUUUAUAGAUACCAUCACUGUAGGGGAAACGAGGAAGGUUUUCGAUGCACGAAUCACUAGCAUACAUUUUCAUGUUUUACGCUAAUUUGCAAUAUUUGCUAGUCGUUGCUUAAUUGGUUGCGGAAACUGUGGAAACCUUAGUGUUCCUGAUAUUAUUAUUUUGUUCCACGGUUUAUUCUGUGAUAACUCUAUUAGUAUGGGCGGUAUUAUUCCUAAAUGGUUAAGUCUGAACUGUACAAAGGGCCCCAUCUUUGGAGGCAUCUAUGCUUCACACCUAGCUGCGCAUUUUAACAUAGCUAUUAGGCAUUAUGAGAAGGAAGAAAAAUUGCUACCCCCUGUUUAUUUAGAUUAUAAUAGUAUGGUGGCACAUGAUUUUAUUGUUAAGAAUAAGGAAGGGGAGCUUAAAUACAAAUUGUUCUUUGAUAAACAUCAUCCUGAGACUAUUACCCUGCCUGCUCCUUCCUUGUUUGAUUUAUCUGCAGGCAAGUACCUCGUUCCAUUAGAGGCUAUUCACGCCUACCGAAACCCUACAUCAGCCAUAGAGCCAGAGUCGGAACCACAAGUUGAUUCUCCAUGACAGUCUAAUUACCAUUGGGAUCCAGAAAUGAUUGCCACCAGUGGCAAUCAGAGUCUUCUUCGCAGUACGACCCCAACUAUUACUAUGGAUAUCCGCCAGGCCAGCCGUGGCCAUAGACCAACUUAGGUCAAAAGCCUAAACUUGGGGGAGUACGUAUUUCCCGCCGACAUUACAUUCAUGUUCGCACACUCAUUGCUAGAUGUCGGUGCUCAUACUUUUUCAUUGUAUCAUCCAUACUAGUUCAUUUCCUUUUUAAGCUUUCUUCUUGUGUGUUUAAUAAACCUUAAGAAAAACCAAAAACAUUAGUUGUAGCUUUUAGCUAGUUUUAAUUUCCAUGCUCGUAGUAGUAAUUAAAAAGAAAACCCAAAAAAAAGAUUUCAUGUUCUUCUUUUGCUUGUUGGGAGCUUUCCCGUGUAAAUAGUUUUAUUUCUUUUCUUUUCUUUGGGGGUCGAUAGGAGAAGACCAUGAUUAAAUUGUUGAAGUGGCUCUUAUAUGUAUUUUUGUUGAUCUGACAAAAGAGCCCAUAUUGCCUCGACUUCUCCUGUUUAUUGAAUGCUUGCAGAUUCCAGCUUAGUCCAAUGCACGUGCACUAUUAUUAUUAUCCACAUCAUUCGGUCGUGCAAGUGAAAGGCAAUUAUGACGAUAUAUGAUGGACUGACUGAGAUGAGAAAAGCUGGUAUGAACUCAACCUGUCUUGUUUUUGUAAAUAUGAUUAGUUCAUCGUUCCUGAUUCAGCCUAUUAUGAAUAAACAUGUUUGCAAUGACAACUAGAGAUCAUAGUUUCUUGUGCCAUGCUUGAUUAGCUAGGAGCUUAUAAUGGUUUACCUUGCGUGCCAACAUGCUAUUAAAAUGGUUGUGAUGUGGUAUGAUAGGGUGGUAUCCUCCUCUGAACGAUUCGAGUGGCUUGACUUGGCACAUAUUCACGCAUGUAGUUGAAACAAAAUCAACAUAGCCUCUACGAUAUUUAUGUUCAUGGUGAAUUAUAUCCUACUCAUGCUUGCAUUCGGUGCUGAUUAAUUUUAAUGCAUGUUUAUGACUGUUGUCGCUCUCUAGCUGGUCGCUUCCCAGUCUUUUGCUAGCCUUCACCUAUACUAAGCGGGAAUACUACUUGUGCAUCCAAUCCCAUAAACCCCAAAGUUAUUCCAUAUGAGUCCACCAUACCUACCUAUUUACGGUAUCUACCUGCCGUUGCAAGUAAAUUUGUAUGUGCCAAACUCUAAACCUUCAAAUAAAUAUCAUGUUUUGUAUGCUCGAAUAGCUCAUGUAUCAACUAGGUUUGUCUGUAUCUUUCAUGUUAGGCGGGUUAUUCUCAAGAGGAGUGGACUCCGCUCCUCACUCGCGAGAAAAUGGCUGGUCACCCGGAUGCCUAGUCCCAUGCUUUAUGCAAAUCAAAUCAAAAUAAUUGCAAACAAAAUUGCCCCUGGGACUCUUGUUAGUUGGAGGCACUCGUUGUUUCGAGCAAGCCAUGGAUUGAUGCUUGUUGGUGGAGGGGGGGUAUAAAAUUUUCCAUUCUGUUUGGGAACCGCCUAUAAUGUGUGUAGCAUGGAAGAUAUCACCAUCUCUUGGUUGUUAUGUUGACAAUGAAAGUAUACCGCUCAAAAUAUUAUUUACCUCUAUUUCAAAAUCGAGCUCUGGCACCUCUACAAAUCCCUGCUUCCCUCUGCGAAGGGCCUAUCUAUUUACUUUUAUGUUGAGUCAUCAUCCUCUUAUUAAAAUGCACCAGUUGGAGAGCACCGUUGUCAUUUGCAUUCAUUACUAUUAUUUUACAUUGAAUAUGACUUGACUGGAUCUCUUUUACCAUGAAUUACAAUGUCUAGUCAGUCCUUGAUCUUUAAAGGUGCUCUACAUUUAUGUUUUGCGGUCUCAGAAAGGGCUAGCGAGAUACCAUCUUGUUAUAUCAUAUCAUGAUUGUUUUGAGAAAGUGUUGUCAUCCGAGAUUUAUUGUUAUUGCUCGCUAGUUGAUUAUGCCAUUGAUAUGAGUAAACAUGAUACAUAAAUGUUAUUGGAAUAUGGUUAGUUCAUAAUCUUUGCUGAAAACUUGAAUGCUGGCUCUACAUAUUUACAACAACAAGAGCAAACAGAGUUUGUAAAAGUUUUUCUUUAUCACUUUCAGUUUAUCAACUGAAUUGCUUGAGGACAAGCAAAGGUUUAAGCUUGAGGGAGUUGAUACGUCUCCGUCGUAUCUACUUUUCCAAACACUUUUGCCCUUGUUUUGGACUCUAACUUGCAUGAUUUGAAUGGAACUAACCCGGACUGACGUUGUUUUCAGCAGAAUUGCCAUGGUGUUAUUUUUGUGCAGAAAUAAAAGUUCUCGGAAUGACCUAAAAAUCAAAGGAGAAUUAUUUUGAAAUAUAUAAAAAAUAUUGGAAGGAAGAUCCACGUCAGGGGGGCCUCCACCUGUCCACGAGGGUGGAGAGCGUGCCCUACCCCCCUGGUGCUACCUCUUGAGCACUGCGUUGGUUUUCCCUUGAAGAGGAAAGGGUGAUGCAGUAAAGUAGUGUAAGUAUUUCCCUCAGUUUUUGAGAACCAAGGUAUCAAUCAAGUAGGAGAUCACGCUCGAGUCCCGCGCACCUACACAAACAAAUAAGAACCUCGCAACCAAUGCAAUAAAGGGGUUGUCAAUCCCUUCACGGUCACUUACGAGAGUGAGAUGUGAUAGAUAGGAUAAGAUAAUAUUUUUGGUAUUUUUAUGAUAAAGAGAAAUAAAGAUGCAAAGUAAAAUAAACAGCAAUAGAAAUAACUAAGUAUCACCUGGGCGCACCCCCCUGCCUCGUGGACCCCCUGACGCUCCACCGACCUCAACCCUGACUCCAUAUAUUCACUUUCGGGGAGAAAAAAACCAGAGAGAAAGAUUCAUCAUGUUUUACGAUAUGGAGCCGCCGCCAAGCCCUAAACUCUCUCGGGAGGGCUGAUCUGGAGUCUGUUCGGGGCUCCGGAGAGGGGAAUCCGUCGCCAUCGUCAUCAUCAACCUUCCUCCAUCACCAAUUUCAUGAUGCUCACCGCCGUGCGUGAGUAAUUCCAUCGUAGGCUUGCUGGACGGUGAUGGGUUGGAUGAGAUUUAUCAUGUAAUCAAGUUAGUUUUGUUAGGGUUUGAUCCCUAGUAUCCACUAUGUUCUGAGAUUGAUGUUGCUAUGACUUUGCUAUGCUUAAUGCUUGUCACUAGGGCCCGAGUGCCAUGAUUUCAGAUCUGAACCUAUUAUGUUUUCAUCAAUAUAUGAGUGUUCUUGAUCCUAUCUUGCAAGUCUAUAGUCACCUACUAUGUGUUAUGAUCCGGCAACCCCGAAGUGACAAUAAUCGGGACCACUCCUGGUGAUGAUCGUAGUUUGAGGAGUUCAUGUAUUCACUAUGUGUUAAUGCUUUGGUCUGGUACUCUAUUAAAAGGAGGCCUUAAUAUCCCUUAGUUUCCGCUAGGACCCUGCUGCCACGGGAGGGUAGGACAAAAGAUGUCAUGCAAGUUCUUUUCCAUAAGCACGUAUGACUAUAUUCGGAAUACAUGCCUACAUUACAUUGAUGAAUUGGAGCUAUUUCUGUGUCACCCUAGAUUAUGACUGUUACAUGAUGAACCGCAUCCGACAUAAUUCUCUAUCACCAAUCCAUUGCCUACGAGCUUUCCAUAUAUUGUUCUUUGCUUAUUUACUUUUCCGUUGCUAUUGCUAUCAUCACUAUAAAACAACAAAAACAUUACUUUUGCUAUCGUUACCUUUUGCUACCGUUACCACUACUAUCAUAUUACUUUGCUACUAAACACUUUGCUGGAGAUAUUAAGUUUCCUGGUGUGGUUGAAUUGACAACUCAGCUGCUAAUACUUGAGAGUAUUCUUUGGCUCCCCUUGUGUCGAAUCAAUAAAUUUGGGUUCAAUACUCUACCCUCGAAAACUGUUGCGAUCCCCUAUACUUGUGGGUUAUCAUUGCUCCUGCAGCGGGUCUUGCACCUAGCGGUGCUUCUAGGACGUAAUUCUUCUGUGUAGCAAUGAGGAUAAUUCUCAAGUUAUGGACCCAGUCCGUGUAGUUGCUACCAUCAUCUUUCAACUUAGCUUUCUCUACGAACGCAUUAAAAUUCAAAGGAACAGUAGCAGGGGCCAUUGAUCUACAAUAACAUAGACAUGCAAAAUACUAUUAGGUGCUAAGUUCAUGAUAAAUUAAAGUUCAAUUAAUCAUAUUACUUAAGAACUCCCACUUAGAUAGACAUCCCUCUAGUCAUCCAAAUGAUCACGUGAUCCAUAUCAACUAAACCAUGUCUGAUCAUCACGUGAGAUGGAGUAGUUUCAAUGGUGAACAUCACUAUGUUGAUCAUAUCUACUAUAUGAUUCACGCUCGACCUUUCGGUCUCAGUGUUCCGAGGCCAUAUCUGCAUAUGCUAGGCUCGUCAAGUUUAACCCGAGUAUUCUGCGUGUGCAAAACUGGCUUGCACCCGUUGUAUGUGAACGUAGAGCUUAUCACACCCGGUUAUCACGUGGUGUCUCGGCACGAUGAACUAUAGCAAUGGUGCAUACUCAGAGAGAACACUUGUACCUUGAAAUUUAGUGAGAGAUCAUCUUAUAAUGCUACCGCCGUACUAAGCAAAAUAAGAUGCAUAAAGGAUAAACAUCACAUGCAAUCAAAAUAAGUGAUAUGAUAUGGCCAUCAUCAUCUUGUGCCUUUGAUCUCCAUCUCCAAAGAACCGUUAUGAUCACCAUCAUCACCGGCUUGACACCUUGAUCUCCAUCGUAGCAUCGUUGUCAUCUCGCCAACUAUUGCUUCUACGACUACCGCUACCGCUUAGUGAUAAAGUAAAGCAAAAACAAGUGUGAUGUCCUCUACUUUGUUGUUGCAAGUUUUACGUGGCUGCUACGGGCUUCUAGCAAGAACCGUUCUUAUCUACGCCUCAAAACCACAACAAUUUUUCGUCAAGUGUGUUGUUUUAACCUUCAACAAGGAUCGGGCGUAGUCAAACUCGAUUCAACUAAAGUUGGAGAAAUAGACACCCACUAGCCACCCGUGUGUGAAGCACCUCGGUAGAACCAGUCUCAUGAACGCGGUCAUGUAAUGUCGGUCUGAGCCACUUCAUCCAACAAUACCGCCAAAUCAAAGUAAGACGUUGCUGGUAAGAAGUAUGACUAUUAUCGUCCACAACUCAUUGUGUUCUACUCAUGCAUAUAACAUCUACGCAUAGACCUGGCCCGGAUGUCACUGUUGGGAAACGUAUUAUUUCAAAAAAAAAUCCUACAAUCACGCAAGAUAUAUCUAGGAGAAGCAUAGCAAUGAGCGGGGAGAGUGUGUCCACGUACCCUCGUAGACCGAAAGCGGAAGCAUUUAGUAACACGGUUGAUGUAGUCGAACGUCUUUGCGAUCCAACCAAUCCAAACACCUAACGUACGGCACCUCCGCAUUCAGCACACGUUCAGCUCGAUGACAUCCCUCGAGCUCUUGAUCUAGUUGAGGCCGAGGGAUAGUUCCGUCAUCGCGAUGGCGUGGCGACGGUGAUGAUGAAGUUACCGGCGCAGGGCUUCGCCUAAGCACUACGACGAUAUGACCGAGGUGUGUAACUGUGGAGGGGGGCACCGCACACGGCUAAGAGAAACUUGUGUCUUUGGGGUGCCCCCUCCCACGUAUAUAAAUGGAGGGAGGAGGCCGGCCCAAGGGGGGGCGCCACAUGUGGGGAGUCCUACUAGGACUCCCUUGUCCUAGUAGGAUUCCCCUCUCCUUUCCUUUUACGGAGGGGGAAAGGGGGGAAGGAGAGGAGGGGAAGAGGGAAAGGGGGGCACGCCCCCUCCCCUUCCUAUUCGGACUCCACUUGGGGGGGACGCGCACGCCUCCCCCUUGUGGGUUGUCCCCUCUUCUCUCCCAUGGCCCAUAAGGCCCAUGAUUUCCCCCAGGGGGUUCCCGUAACCUCCCGGUACUCCGAAAAAAUUCCCGAAUCACUCGGAAUCAUUCCGAUGUUCAAAUGCAACCUUACAAUAUAUGAAUCUUUACCUCUCAACCAUUUUCGUGAUCUCAUCUGGGACUCCGAACAAACUUCAGUCAUCAAAUCACAUAACUCAUAAUACAAAUUGGCAUCGAACGUUAAGUGUGUGGACCCUACGGGUUUGAGAACUAUGUAGACAUGACCGAGACACAUCUCCGGUCAAUAACCAAUAGCGGAACCUAGAUGCUCAUAUUGGCUCCUACAUAUCUACGAAGAUCUUUAUCGGUCAAACCGCAUAACAACAUACGUUGUUCCCUUUGUCAUAUGUAUGUUAUUUGCCCGAGAUUCGCUCGUCGGUAUCCUCAUACCUAGUUCUAUCUCGUUACCGGCAAGUCUCUUUACUUGUUCCAUAAUGCAUCAUCUGGUAACUAACUCAUUAGUCACAUUGCUUGCAAGGCUUAUAGUGAUGUGCAUUACCGAGAGGGCCCAUAUAUACCUCUCUGAUACACGGAGUGACAAAUCCUAAUCUCGAUCUAUGCCAACUCAAGAAACACCAUCGGAGACACCUGUAGAGCAUCUUUAUAAUCACCCAGUUACGUUGUGAUGUUUGAUAGCACACUAAGUGUUCCUCCGGUAUUCGGGAAUUGCAUAAUCUCAUAGUCAUAGGAACAUGUAUAAGUCAUGAAGAAAGCAAUAGCAAUAAAAUUAAACGAUCAUUGUGCUAAGAUAACGGAUGGGUCUUGUCCAUCACAUCAUUCUCUAAUGAUGUGAUCCCGUUCAUCAAAUUACAACACAUGUCUAUGGUUAGGAAACUUAACCAUCUUUGAUUAACGAGCUAGUCUAGUAGAGGCAUACUAGGGACACUCUGUUUGUCUAUGUAUUCACACAUGUACUAAGUUUCCGGUUAAUACAAUUUUAGCAUGAAUAAUAAAGAUUUAUCAUGAUAUAAGGAAAUAUAAAUAACAACUUUAUUAUUGCCUCUAGGGCAUAUUUCCUUCAGGAAGAGCAUUGCGGGUGGGAGGGAGAAGGGGAAUUAAGAGAGUGUAGGUUUCGGUUUGGGCCUCCGCGCGCUAUGUGUACACAUGUGUUGGUGGGUCAAUAGUAGUGGCGCCAGGUUUAUACCCCACACUACUACUAUGGCCUAUCCCGGGGGUACGAUAGAGACCACUUAGUAGUAGCGAGGGAUUUAUACCCCUCGGUACUACUAUCAACUUAGUACUAGUGAGGGAUUUAUACCCCUUGCUACUACUAUCAACUUAGUAGUAGUGAGGGAUUUAUACCCCUCGAUACUACUAUGGCCAGUCCCGGGGGGCACGGUGGAGACCACUUAGUAGUAGUGUGGGGUUUAUACCGCUCGCUACUACUAUCAACUUAGUAGUAGCGUGGGUUCUAUACCCCUCUCUACUAAUAAUUAGCAGCAGUGUGGCCCAUAUACCCCUUGCUACUGUUAAGCAUCUAUCUAUAAAUUAUUUUCUAGUAGUGCAUCAAUGGCGGCGAAAUCAGUCAUUCUGCUUGUUUUCCCUACUAGCUCUCUGACGUCCAGAACAAGUUUACGGUCAUAAGGUGCAAUGCCCUUGCCUUCAUGAGUGACACGAUGACACGGGAACGGGCUUCCAAGCCUAUGGUGUCGCAUCGUGUCGUGGUCUGCUAAACUUAGUGGACGGAUGCUACUCCAAUAUCGGUUGAUCCUAUACUACGGUACCAAGGAAGACACGCAACUACUAUAUAUAUUUCUUCAAGUCAGUCAACACAAGUAAACUCUGGGAGUUCAACUGGUGCAGCUAUGCAAUGCUAAUGGAGACAACACAAUUCAACUUUAGCACUUCACACAUAAGAAAAACCACGUUCAAUGGCACACACCUUAGAGUGUACCUAUGGUGGUUGAAUGGGCUAUAAGAAAUGUGAGUCCAUGUGAAGAUGCCAAACAUAAUAACACGGCUAAUUACACAUGCAGUGGCAGCAGCAACAAGUGCGUGAAUUCAACAAAUGAUCUAGGGUACACAUGCAACGGUGUCCUUGAGUAUGACAACAACCCUUAUCUUCUAGACAAAUGCAUGGUAUGCUACUAAUUUAUUUGCUACAAAUUCCAAUGAAUUGUGUCCUUUGCUUUGUACAUACCCAAUUAUAAUAUUUUAUUAUGCUAAUACAAUGUAGCCUUCAAUUUAAACCAAGGUUUGCAUCCAUUAAUUAUGUUAGGUUCAUAUGACUUCACUACAUAAAUAGGUAGAUAAUGCAUAAGACUGAGAUUGUAGCUAGGGAUGAAAAUCUAAAUACGGCAUGAAUCUAACAAUUAUGAGUAAUGUCUUUGUGACAAGAACUUUCUUUGUCUUUUAUUCCCAUGUUUGAACUAGUAUAGGUCAGGGUUACACAUUAUGGUGCACAUCACUUUAUUUGUCACCGUUACAUUGAACACCCAUUGACUAAACAACGAUAAUCCAUCCGUCUUGUAUUACAGGUCUUCAUUUCAUUGGCCACCGAUGCUUGUAAGACUACUCCCAGAUGGUUGUUGUUGUGGAUAUGGUUGUUGAGGUUGGUGUGGUUGCUGGGGGAAUGGUUGUUGGGGUUGCUGGGAAAUUGUUUGUUCUAGUUGCUGGGAUAAUUGUUGUUGGGGCUGCAAAAAUGGUUGUUGUGGUUGCAGGAUGGAUGGUUGCUGGGGUUGGGGCUGGGGAAAUGAUUGUUGUGAUUGUUGGGGUUGCUGGGAAAAUGGUUGUUGCGGUUGAAGGGGGAAUGGUUGUUGUGGUUAUAGAGGGAAAGGUUGUUGUGGUUGUUGAGGGAAUGGUUGUUGUGGUUGUUGNNNNNNNNNNNNNNNNNNNNNNNNNNNNNNNNNNNNNNNNNNNNNNNNNNNNNNNNNNNNNNNNNNNNNNNNNNNNNNNNNNNNNNNNNNNNNNNNNNNNNNNNNNNNNNNNNNNNNNNNNNNNNNNNNNNNNNNNNNNNNNNNNNNNNNNNNNNNNNNNNNNNNNNNNNNNNNNNNNNNNNNNNNNNNNNNNNNNNNNNNNNNNNNNNNNNNNNNNNNNNNNNNNNNNNNNNNNNNNNNNNNNNNNNNNNNNNNNNNNNNNNNNNNNNNNNNNNNNNNNNNNNNNNNNNNNNNNNNNNNNNNNNNNNNNNNNNNNNNNNNNNNNNNNNNNNNNNNNNNNNNNNNNNNNNNNNGAAUGGUUGGUGGGGAAUUAUUUGUUCUGGUUGCUGGGGAAUUAUUUGUUCUGGUUGCUGGGGGAAUGGUAGUUGGGGUUGGGGAAAUGGUUGUUGGGGUUGCUGGGGGAAUGGCUGUUGUGGUUGCAGAGGGAACGAUUGUUGGGUCUGGGGAAAUGGUUGUUGUGGUUGCCAGGAAAAUGGUUGUUGGGGCUGUGGAAAAGGUUGUUGUGGUUGUUGGGGUUGCUGGGGGAAUGGUUGUUGUGGUUGUAAGGGGGUCGGUUGUUGGGGUUGGGGAUAUAAUUGUUGUGAUUGCUGGAGAAAUUGUUGUUGGGGUGUGGAAAAUGGUUGUUGUGAUGGAUAUGGUUGCUAUGAUGGAUAUGGUUGUUGUGGAUAUGGCUGUUGUGGAAAUGGUUGUUGUUGAUGGGAAAAUGAUUGUUGAGGUGAUUGUAACUCUUUGUUGCUAGGGUUUAGCUGCCUAGCGGCAAUGGCGGUGUUCAUCGCCAUGGCAAGGAGGACAAAGAUGAGGAAGGUCUUCAUGUUGGAUUUGUGGUUACUACUGCUUGCUUGCCUUUGAUGCUUGUGGUCUAGGUGUGUGAAGUUUGGUUGAUGGAAGGUGUCCUUGGUGGUGCAUGUGUAUUUAUAGUUUUCAUGGCAUGGCUUGCUUUCAUCUUUGCACUCGCUCUUUGAAAAAGUGCAUCAAUGCUUAUCCAACUAAUCAUUUGGUUUGUUGUGUUUGGUGCAACUACUUACU